UCAAAAGUAGUUAUGGAUAACCCUUAUAGUCGAAUGGACUUGUGGUAUAGAUUAGAACUCCAUUGAGAUGUAGCAUCUCACCCCAUUCAUGUUGAUUAUUUUCAGUUAGGUAGGGUCAAGGUAAAGGUAAAGGAAAUAUUCCCUGAAGACUUUAAAGACUUUAUCAUCUAUUUUGUGUUCCCAGUGUAUUUGAUAUGUUUCGUAUUUUGGAUAUUAUGUAUUAGUUUUGUAUUGACAUCAGAUAUUCAUUCAUGCAUUGAAUGUUGGAUAUUUAUAUUGUACAUGUAUUCAAAAUUCAUUUAGCCGCUAUGAUUGUACUUGAAAUUUUGCUCCUCGGGGGGCAAAUGUUGGACCAGAUGUCUGGGACAACUUGCCCAACUUGUUAAACCCGAUUUAACACAAUAUGACAACAAUAAUGAAUCAAAGUAAAAACAAUGAAGAACACAUGAGAACUGGUAACCCAGAUCAGUGCAAAUAACACCUACGUAUGGAGGACGCUCUAUCCAAGAAAGGAAAUUCACUCUUUAAUAGAAUUUGUAGAAAGUGUCUUAGAUGAAAAAAAACUUUGUCUAAUGCCCCUCUUCUUAAUUAUGCCCUUAAUGUAUUUUUAUUUAGGCCUCUCUCUAAAUAUGAUAACCCCCUCUCAUUUUAUUUCAAUCACUAAUCCCAAGCGAUCAACGUCAAUAAACACAAUGAUGAAUGUUGAAUACAACUCAACUAAACAAACUAACUACCACACCCUAUGAAUGAAGCAAUAGUGUGGUGUACAAUUAACACAAACAAAGACUAAGCAUAAAACUAAAAUAAUCAUUCAAGAUCGUGCUCUUCAAGGCAUGGAAAAAGUAUCUAUAUAUAGCAUUCCAUAGUCGGGCUUUUCUCCUUGGGUUUAGGCAGUAAUCUCGUCCAAAUAUGAUGGAGAUUCAUAUAGGAUUUGCUUCUCCAAAACAACUCCAUAAAAUAUUUGAUUUGAUUUGAAUUAAAAUUUAAAUAUCCAUGAUAUAAAUUUAAUUUUAUUAAAUGGUUAAACAAAUAAUAUUGCUAAAAUAUAGCAACAACCCUUAUUGCACAAGUAACAUAAAAUGCAUUAUAUACAAUUGGAAAAUAUGCGCUCACAACAAUAGCUUUGUCUUGUAGACAAGGGUCGCAUGUUGGGACAUUUGUUACCACAUGUGUCAUUAUUCACAAAAUUAGUUGAGGUCAGAUGUGCCACACCAGCUAGAACACCAUAUCCAACAUGUGUUUAUACCAUGUAGUUUUGUAUAAUGUAGUCAAUUCAAAAAGAAACAACAAUCUCCCAUUUGAAAAAAAUUGGCAAAACAACAUUCUUAAAAAACCUACAAGAUGUGCUCCAUAAGUUGAUCAUUAAGUACACCACACACACAUAGAAAAUAAUGGUAGCAACAAAAACAUAAACAACAACAUACAUUAGAGCUAACACAUACCAACAACAAAAAUCAGAGUAGCAACAGCAUAAAUCAGUAAGAUAGUCAGAAGUCAAGUGGUUGCUACACAUCGGUUAAUCAAACACACAAUGAUGCUUCCAUAAACAGUUAACAUAUGCAAUCAUUCAAUAUCAGUUAUUCAUGCAUGAACACACAGUUAGUAGUUAGUAGUCAAGAUUCAAAAGCUACUACUAACACACAAAGAAAUCAGCACACACAAAGUUGAGGGCCAGAUGCCAGACCAGGUGCUUCAACAUGUGUUCGCACAGAUUCAGAACAUCGGUUAGUACCAUUUAAUACUAAGCACAGCAAAGUCGGUCAACAAAUAUCAGCACUUAUACACCAAAUCACAAAAUUAGGAGUCAGUCAAUAGUCACACCACUCCACUACACACCAUUACUCCCUCUUUUUUCCAUAAUUUGGAAAAAUUUCUCCUCGAAAAACGUAUUCAAUCAUUACAACGAUUAGUUGUUAGCACAUAUACAGAUUAGGAGUAGAUAAACAUCAACCAUCAAAACAAACAUUGAUGGAUUUUAUCAUGGGUUUACCUCAUAUGCUUGAUGGUCACGAUUCGAUUUAGGUAAUCAUGGAUGUAUUAAGAAAAUCAACCCAUUUAUUACCUUUCAAGACUAUGUACAAGGUUAUCCACCUAGCAAUGUUAUUCAUUUUAGAAAUAGCCUGAUUGCAUAGUGUUUCGGCUAGUAUCGUAUCCGAUUGAGACCCGAAGUUUACUUCUAGUUUUUUAUGGAAUUUUCAUCAUGCAAUAUGAAUAAUGCAAAUCUCAACACCUUAAAUCAUCCUCAACCGGAUGGGAAGAUAGAAAGAACCAUCCAAAUUGUCGAAGAUAUGUUGCGAGUGUGUAUCUUGGAAAGUGGAGGAAACUAGAAGGAUCACUUACCCUUGAUCAAAUUUUCUUACAAUAAUAGUCAUCAAUAUGGAAUCGGGAUGGUACAGUAUGAAGCCUUAUAUGGUAGAAAGUGUAUAAUGCCUUUAUGUUGGGCGGAAGUUGGUAAUAAGGGGAUUCUUGGACCUGAGAUAAUCCAAGAAACCACAGAGAAGAUAAGAAUGAUCCAAGAAAAGAUGAAAAAGGCUUAAGACCAUUAGAAAAGCUAGGUGGAUCAGCGUACAAGGCUUUUAGAGUUAGGGAGAUAAUGUAUUCUUGAAGGUUACCCGAAGCUAGGGCUAAAGGGACCGCUUAAGACAAAGAAGUUAAGCUCGAGUAUAUUGGUCCGUACUAGAUCAUAAGUUAGGCAGGUGAAGUGGCUUAUUAGUUAGCUUAUCCACCUUCAAUAUUUGGGCUUCAUGAAGUGUUCCCCGUAUCUCAACUUAGAAAAUUUGCUCCACAUUCUUUUUAACCUCUCCUCUCAGAUAUUUAUUUUUAACCUCAACUUAUCCGUGUAGUGGAUUAUGUGAUAAAGACGCUAAGGAAUAAAUAAAUAUCCCUUAUGGAAGUAUUAUGGGAGGAAUCACAUCUAGGAAAAUCCACAUGGGAGCCAGAAAUGCGAGCAAGCUUACCUCAUUUAUUCAUGUAACUUCCUAAAUUCAAGGAAGAAUUUUAAUUUAAGGGGGGAAGGAUGUAAUAACUAUAAUGAUCUAAUUGUGGAAAUAAGGAUAAUUAGUAACAUUAGUCUAACUGGAAUCCUUAAAUAAAAAUGAGUGGCAUGGAUUAUUAACAUUACAUGACUUGCAAGGUCAAAAUGGACUAUCUACAUGACUAGUACUUAAGGCAAAUUUUGGGAAAAGGAGCUCAUUUCUCUCUCUCUCUCUCUCUCUCUCUCUCUCUCUCUCUCUCUCUCUCUCUCUCUAUAUAUAUAUAUAUUAUAUAUAUUUAUAUAUAUUUAUUAAUAUAUAUAAUAUUAUUAUUAUAUAUAUAAUAUAUAAUAUGAUAUAUUAUAUAUUACUAUAUAUAUAUAAUAGUUAUAAUAUAUAUAUAUAUAUAUAUAUAAUAAUGUAGAUAUAUAUCUAUAUAUAUAUAAUGAUAUAACUAUAAUAUAUAUAAUAAAUAUAUCUAUAUAUAUAUAAAUAUCUAUAGAAUAUAUAUAUAUAUAUAAUAUAUAUAUUAUAUCCACAUGAGAACUUAGAGAAGAUUGAGAAGUGCAUGGACGAAAAUUGGGAAAGAAAAGGGAAGGUAGUCUUGAUCAAUUACAUUCCUUAUUGCAUGUCCAAGUUUCAAGAAUACUAGAAGUAAAAUUCAUGUAAAAGAAGAACUUAGAGAAACCAAACUAUCAUCCUCAUAACCUUUCAUCCAAACUCAAGUUUAACUUAAAAGGUGGGAUUCUUACCUUAAGCUUGAGUAUGGGUAGUUCCAAUUUAGGCUAUACCUGUUGGGCAAAGGGAUGGCAAUCUUAUGUUUGAUGAGUCACAUCUCAUGACUUUAUGUGUUAAUGAUUUAUUAAAAGAGAAGGUCAAUCUUAUGUUGGUUAACAUAAAAUGUAUGAUGUGAUAUGUCCAUGAUUUUUUAUUCUUGUGUUUGUCCUUGUAUGUUCCUCCUUUCGUGCUUAGGAUGCUUGGAUAAUAUAGAAACAUGAUACCAUUAAUGAGAAUUAGGUUAAUUGUGUGAAGUAUGUGAAGAAUGUGAGGGGAUUAAUGAAUCCUUAUUCAUAAUGUAUAAUAAAUUGAAUGAUACAUGUUCUUGAUGAUGAAUUACUUGACUUGUAUUCAUGUUGGAUCAUGUUGGUUUGAACAUGGUUUGAAAUUCUGGAUGGAAAUGUAGGUAUCAAGAUCACAAUAUGCAAAACCUGAUUUUUUAAAGCACAAUGCGACACGUCCUAUGUAACACGGGUUGGUUUUGUUCCCCUCUAGUUUCAUGUAUGGGUGCGUGUCUGAUAGCGACACGACCAUGUUAGCUGACAUGGGUGGUAUGUGUUCCCCUCUGGUUUUACUAUGGAAGGAGUUCCCUAAACCCAAACGGCUCGUGUUGGAUGACACGAUUGAGCCAUGUUGUCUAUUUUAAUUUGUAAUCCUUGUUUGAUUCUAAUAGAUCCAUGCCGUCCAGAGUGUCUUAUUCCAAUAAAUAAAACCAUAAUGGCAUGUCGCUCACAUACGAGUAUUAAGUAGUACAUACCAAUAAAGAAUAACAAAUGUAUGUGGUUGUGUACUAAACUAAAUGGAAAUGUAAAAAACCAAGUGAGAAACCUAAUGGUUUACUAAAAGUAUCUAGUCAUACAUUGAUUGUGUAUAUGUAUGUUCACCCAUACCCACGUGUCUAACCGCAGUCCUAAGUAGGUCAUAAUUUGGUGAUCGCACUCCUAAACGGGGCGUAAUGCGAUUAUCACACUCUAAAGAAGGGCGUAAUUUGGUAAGACGAUUUGUGUAAGCACUCCUAAAUGGGUCGUAAUACACUAAGAUGGUUUGCAUACAUCUAAUCUCUUUCCAAAGACGGGUGUAAUAUGGUUAUUGCACUCCUAAGAUGGGCGCAAUGCAAUGAUCACACUCUUAAAUGGUCCGUGAUGUGAAUGAGAUAAAAUUGUGUAUUCAUUGAUUCAUACUCCUAAGAGGGGCGUAAUUUGGUGAUCGCGCUCCUGAAUGGGCGUAAUGUGAUUAUUUAAUAGGGGCAUAAUGCAAAUGUGAUGAUGUAUAUUAUGUGCGUAAAGAACGGUUAAUAGCAUGCCUAACUAGUAAAUGUAAGCUCGGAAGCGAGAGAGAGAUCAAUUGGACAUCAUCUAAGUUAGGCUUUACUUAAUAAACACCAGUUGGUAUAUGGUCUUCUGAUAAUCCAUAUACUCUUGUCGGUGAGCAUUAUCCAUAAAGGUAUUUGUGUUAACAUUCUUGUAUAGCUGGAAGUUAAAAGACCUCAAAUUUAUUUUAUUUGGUUUUAUCUUGUAAAGAACUUAGACGAUAUUGUCAAAAGUAGUUCUGGAUAAUCCUUAGAGCUGAGAAAACUUGUAGUAUAGCUUAAAACUCCAUUGAUAUGUAGCAUAUCAACCCCAUUCAUGUUGAUUAUUUUCAUGUAGCUUGGCCCAAGGUAAAGGUAAAGGAAUGAUGCCUUGAAGACUUUGAAGAUUGUAUCAUCUAUUCUGUGUUUCUAUUGUAUUCGCUAUGUUCUGUAUUUUGGAUAUUAUGUAUUAGUAAUGUAUCGACAUAUGGGAUGUGUUCAUGUAUUGUAUGUUGGACAUUAAUAUUGUUCAUGUAUUUAAAUGUCAUUUAGACGUUAUGAUUGUACUCAAUUCCAAUAUAAUACUUUGAAUAGUGUUAUUCUAGACAAAUAUUAUUCAGGGUGUUACAUUAUUUUUUAAAAUAGUCUACAUACACCUAUAAUUAAACUAUCAAAAAUAUUUUUUUUAAAUAUAAAACAAAUCAUUCUUAACAAAGAUUCAGUUCGGAUAUCUGAUUCGAUUCAAUUUUAUGAAUUUUUUGAACAGUCUUAAUCAUAAGUUGAUUUAACCAAACUAGAGUGUUUGAUUCCUUUUUCUGAAGAAAAAAAAAGGUGUCAUGGUUCUUUUUACCAAAAUUGAGAAAUUAAGUGAGAAAGCUUAAUUUUAUGACUAGUUCAUACCCUCCUCGUAACAAUCGAAGAGCAAACAAAGGAAUUUAUUCUAUUGUUAAUGAGGUUAUUUUUAGUCUCUUUUUAUCUACAAAAUCUUUGAUAACACAUUUAUAUGAAAUAUUAUACAUAAAAUCACAAAGUAUAUGUUAAUUAAUGAUAUACUCCCUCCGUCCCAUAUUAUAAACAAAAUUUAUUUUUUAGAUUUAUUAAAUAACCAAUGUAUCUGAUCUAUAUAUAGACUAGAUACAUUAAUUAUUUAAUGAAUCUAAAAAGAAAAACUUGCUUAUAAUAUGAGACGGAUGGAGUAAAUCUCAUAACUUUAAUUUAUUCUCCGUAUAGAAAAAAUUACAUAUGAAAUUGAGGAUAUGAUCAUCUUUUCGAAGUUUCUCCGCUUUUAGAAUUGUUGUUUCUCAUCUUUGUCCUAUCCAUCCGUGUCCUAUUGUUUAUUGGAGUGGAUUAUAUAGUGCAUAACUCUUUUACAUUUAAUUCUGUUCUGUCAUAUCUUCCAACGAACACAUUAUAAACACAUGAGUAUUUUUAAAGAAAAAUAUAAUUUUUAGUGCAGAGCGGCAUAUAAACAUUUUUAUUAUUAUAUAUUACUUAACAAAGUCGAUAUGUGUACACAGUCCAAGGAUUUCAAAAUUAAUGGUGUAAAAUAAGAAACUAAAAUAAAAUUAAAGUAGUUGUCAAUUAUCUUAUCCAUUAGACAGUAACUUUGUUGGAGGGCCAUGUCCCGUUGUUCAUAUUCUAUCAUAUUGCAACAUUCCACCAGACUUCAUUGUUUGAUUUGUGUUGUUUUCCUAUAGGGUUGAUGAAUAGGUAUUUGGAGGGUGUGAUGAAGUGGGCUAGGUUGUUGGAUCUUAAAUCAUCACCGCCAAACUCUGUCUUCUCUUAAAAAAAAACAUUUUAUUAUUACAUAUGGAUUAACUUAUUAUUUUUAUUGAUAAAACAUUAAACAAGAUGUCUAAUAAGUUGUUGAGAUAUAUUAGUUCCGUUGAGAUGUCUAAUAAGUUAUUGAUUUCAUUUGAUUCUGAAUUUUGUACGAUCUUUUGGCUUAAUAUCCGCUGAAAUUUUGUUCGAGAUACCGUUUGAUUUAUUUAUGAAAGUGUUUUUUAAAAAGAUUUAUUUUAUUCUAGAUGUUGCAUGAUGUAUUUUGAAAAUAUUUAUUUUUUUAAAGAUUGAAUAAGUUAUGAAUUUGUUAGUCAAAUUGACUCUAUAUAAAAAAAGAAAUCAUUCGCUCAUUUCAUGGACUUGUAGUAUAUGUUUUUCUAAUUAAGAAACAAAGUGUUUCUUGCUUAUGUUCAACUUUGCUUAUGUUUUUUCUACCAUUCUUUGAGAGACAGGGUUGUGGUUUUCUUCCGUGAAAUUUAUCACAUUUUUAUUAUUAAAGAAUUAUAAAUAUUUGGAAGAGUGUUUGAGUGGAAGUGAAGGGAUCUCAAAUUUUAAGGGAGAUUAAGUUUAAGUUCAUGGGUAAUAUUAGAAAAAUGGCUCUGAACUAGGGACAAUUCAUAUAAUACAGUUCAUAUAAUACAGUCGUAUACUAUUUGUGGAAUCUUGUCUUAUAGAUUAUUAGUCAAAGAAGAUAAACAUGCUUUUGAUGAUGACAAUUAUUAAAGAUGAGCAUACAACAAGCCAUUGAUGAUAAUCAAAGAGCAUCUAAAGAUAAAACCCAGACUAUUAGGGUUUGAUGGACUUGACUCUCAGAUGAUGGCAACCAAAUAGAAUAUAACUCAAGUCUCAUAUCAAGCUCAAGCAAGUUUCUACAAGGAUAAACUAUUUGACAAGUCUUGAAGCAUAUCAAAGUUUGUCUCGAUGUGUGUGAGUGAAUAUACAUUGUAAAAGCAUAAGAUCUUUCUCAUAAAAUAUAUAGCUAAUCUCACACACACACACAUAAACAAGUUUUCAAACUUAUUUUUCUCAAGAAAACACUUCUAAAAAUGCCUUGAAGUCGUGCUAGACAAGUUAGGAUAUGUCAGAAAAGAUAUAGGCAAGUUUUUGUUCUUGCCAAUCGAUUGGCACCUUAUGGAAAUUGAUUGGACCAGUUUAAAAAUGUGUCCUAAUCGAUUAGGAUAGUACCUUAAUGAAUGGUAAUGGCUAAAUAUAUUUUCUUACUUUUUUGAACUCAUUAAUCGAUUAAUUUAGACUUGUCAAUCGAUUGGGGUAUGAUGUCAAUCGAUUGGCUGAUCGUUAUUGGCCAUAAAAAAAAAAUUGUCAACCUCUAGCCUAUUAAUAGAGGUCAUUUCCCACCUAUUUCAUAUCCAUAAACAUGUUUUCAUUUCUCACUUCUCACUCUCUCUAAAAACUAUUUUGUUUACUUUCUCUCACUAAAAAUUUAGUUGUAGUGUUUUCAAGAAAGACGUUUUGCGAGUGAGGAAUUUGUAAUUCUAGAAGGAUAGAUUUGUAAGUUCACCAGGGAAGUUUUAUUUUUACCUUGGUUGAAUAAUUCAUCCAUUUAGGGAUAAUUUUUUGGGUUCGAAAGUUCAGCAUGUGCGAUCAAGUCACCAUUUAGGUUUGAAAGUUCAGCAUGUUCAAAAGCUUUCAAAGGUUCGAGAUCAGUCUGGUGGUAAAAUCUCAUAGGUUCUUGGUUAGCCCGGUAUAAAAUCAAGUUUCGUUCAAAUCUUAGCCCAGUGUUAAAAGCUUGUUUCGAUUCGAGAUCAAUCAGGUGGUAAAAUCUCAUAGGUUCUUGGUUAGCUCGGUAUAAAAUCAAGUUUCGGUUCGCGAGUUCAGUAUUGUAUUAAAAGCUCGCAAGGUUCAAGAUCAUCCUGUGAUAAAAUAUUUGUUUGAAGCUUGAAGACUAAAUGCUUCAAGUUUCUUUUAGAAAGAAGACUAACCACUUUGAUCCAUCGUUUGGAAGGAAGGCUCACCGCUUAUUUCCUGUGUUUGUUGUUUGGUUGAAAGUUAACUACAAGCUUCAUUUUCUUUGUAUAAAGGGAUUUGAGAGUUACUAAAAGUUCUUAAGUUUAUUGGACACUCUAAGAUCAAAUCUUAGGGACAGGACUAAGUCGCUUUUGGUUGAAUCUGUAUAAUUUCUGGUGUUCUUAUCUCUUCCCUUAAACUCUUUACAUUUUCGCAUUUUUCUGCAAUUUUAUUUUCCGCUGCUUGUUUCAAAAAUCUUUUUUUAAAUGUUUUCAAAUUUGACUUUGAUCCAAUAAAAUUUUCAAAUCUAUGUUUUUCUAAAACUUAUAACUCACCAUCUCUCUUGUGUGUAAAAUUAUGUGUCCAACAUUAUUGACUACUUAUUAUUAGUGGAUUUAUUUCCACUGGACUACUGCCCUUCAGACGUAAUAUGACAAUUACACUGAGUUGAGUUAACAAUUUCUUGUGUCUUUUAAUUAUUAUCUGUCUAAUUGUUAAUCUAUUAAUUCAGAUACUCUUGUGUUACAUAUAUAUAUUCAACAUUAUGUGUGACAAUUUGCCUCUAAACAAACAGAAUUUCAGUUAUAAUAUUAAAUGUGAGAAUGUAUCUUCUCUGCUUCGUCGUGGUUGUGAAUAGAAAAUUAUAAAGAAUAGUUAUUUUAUAUACGGUGUCAUUAUUUUAGUGUAUAACUCAGAUUCAUGAUAUUGUUGGAGGACUAUCAGUUACGAUGGUGUUUGGCCAAACUUAGUGGAGGUUACCUGCAAAUACUAUGUCUCAAAAGUUAGUAUUGAUUGUAAUGUUUUUUAAAUUAGAAAGUGCGUCUUGAGAGGUGAUUAUGAAAAUGUGUCUUGAGAGGUGAUUAUGAUAAGCUUAUACAUAUUUGAAGUUGUGAUAUUAUCAUUGGUCAGCUAAAAAACUCAAUCCUGAAUAGAUACCGACCAAAUAAAGAACCUGAGGUAAAAAAAACUUGCAAUUUUUUUUAAUCAAUGAAGCAUUCCUUUAUGGUAUAUUAUUUGAGUCAUUCAACAAAUUCAUACACUUUUCUAAAGUAACAUUAUCCUCGUUUUAACAUUCCAUAAAAACAAAAUCAAUUGGAUAUGUCAUUUGUAGAAGUAACACAACAAAUCAAACAAAUGUAAUUUGUAAUUAUUUUUCAUAUACCUUAAAUCCAUUAGUAAUACAUUAUGAAACGUUUUAAACAACUUGAUGUAUUUUAACACAACAUGAUGUUUUCCCGAUGCAUCCAAAAUAUAUCUUGAAUGAAUUUUUCAACAUUUUUUAACACCAUACAUUCUAUACUUAACGACAUAAUCAUGGGCAUCCAAUUAUUUUAGUAGUGGUUGCAAUUGGAUACACUAUACUUGGAGACAUAACCAUUUAAUUGGCAUCCGCUUAGAUGUUGAAUUGAAGAAAGUUGUGGUUGACAUAGAACUAAAUGGUUCGUAUAGCCUAUCCAAUUGCAACAACUACUAAAACAACUGGAUGCACGUGAUUAUGUCUCUAGGUAUAAAAUACAAUACAUGGUGUUUAAAAUUUAUCUUAUUUUUAUGAAUUCUAUUUUCCUUUAUAUUUUUAAUAUAGUUUUAAAAUUUUACAUUAAAUAUUUCAUUUUUAAAUUUAACUUCAACAAAAUUUCCGUAUAAAUAUUAGUUAAAAUUUAUUUCAGUAAUUACACAUCUAAAAGCAAUUUAUAUUUUACUCACAUUUAACCAAUAUGUAUUCUACUAAAAUUAAUUAUUGUUUAAAAAAAACAAUUUGUUAGAAGUAGAACUAAAGCAACCAAUAUGUAUUCUACUAAAAUUAAUUAUUGUUUUAAAAAAACAAUUUGUUAGAAGUAGAACUAAAGCAAUUUGUUAGAAGUAGAACUAAAGCAAUACUUAGUUUGAUCUGUUAUAGUAAAGUUAUAUAUACAUUGGACAUCAAAUUAAACAACUAUAAAACAUAAUACACAAUUUAAUUUAUAAUCAUUUUUUCUCAAAAACAAAAGUGAGUUAAUAAUUAUAAUUCGUAACUCAAUAACAAAAAUAACUUAACAUACUGUCAAUAAAUAAAAGUGAGAUAUUUACCUUACCUUAAAAUAUAGUAGUAUAUAAAUGAUUUUGUUAACAACUUUUUAUUAAUAUUUUUUAAAAAUAAAAUGACAAUUAAUAGAAGUUUAAUAAAAACUUAUGCAAUGGAUAGUUGCUUCCUUCACAAGAAAAAUGGAGCAUUUGAACUAUUUAUAGCGGUUUUCAAAUGUAAGCAGCUUGAAGCUCACCUUAUCUAUAUGUAAAAACAGAAUGUAAACCAAUAUUUCAUGUAAUGAAAACUCGGCAUCAAUGUCAUGAAAUCGAAAUUUAAAAACCAAAAUUUCAUGCUACCAAAUAAUAUGCAUAAAAAGACCGAAAUUUAAUCGUCAGUGCUGCACACAUUGAUAAGCUCAUGAAAAUUGAGAAAAUUAACCAUAUCUUUUUUUCCACAUAAAUUCCUUAUUCUUUUAUAAUUUAACCUCUUUUGUUAGACCUGGUUAGUAUCAUGCUUGAUUUUAAAUUUCUAAUAACACUGUCGAACCAACAUAUUUAUUAGAAAACAUUAAAUAAAUUUUUAAUCAAUGUGAAACUACAACUUUUAAAAUUUAGUCUUCUACAAAAAUGUUAUUCAAUUUAAUCACUAAUUUUAUUAAUUUCUAUAAAGAAAAAUUGUACUUUCGGUCCCUACAUUUAGUCCUAUAAAAGCGAAAUAAUGAGGUCGCGAUUUUGUAGGGAUUAAAAAAAACUUUAAUUAAAAAAACAAUAACAUUUUCGAAACAGCAAAUUUAACUUCAAAAAACAAAUCACAAAAAAAUGUAUUCGAAGGAGUACAGAGAAUUCUCAAGAGCAAUGAAUGAGAUAGUAAGAGUCUAUUCAAGCUAAACGGAUUUUAAUUUCCAGAAAUGAAAUCAAAAUGUCAGAAUCUACGAUGAUUACAAAUAAUAUGUACAGUAAUUCCUGUAUUCUGCCAAGAGCAUAAAAAUGAAGCCCUCGGAUAUUUCAGCACAAACAAGGGACUUAAAUUAAUCGCCUUUUGGUUCAGAUUUUACCGAGAAACUUCUGGCUUCUUCGUCAGUAACAUCACUGUAUUGUAAAACCAAAUGACAAUCAUAUCUUAUGAUAUGGUAAAAGAGAAAAAUCAAAACUAGAAUGAAUUGAAUCAAAAGAUAGAGUUCAUGAAGAAACCUGUCUAUAGCUUCUGUUUUGGGAAUCAACGAGACUCUCUUAGUAGCAAGAUAUUCACAGAAACUUUGAAGGUUUUUCUCUUGGCAGAAAUUGCAAAGAUGUUUAAGGAAAUUGUUGAAUUGGUUCGGUUCCUUCACAGAAUAAGUUUGUCAACUCAUCAAGUUACCAUGAAUCUCAAAUACAAACAAGAAGCAUAGGACAAUUUAACAAACAAAUUCAAAUAGGGAUAAGAUAACAGAUAGAAGCCGUGUUGUUGCAGUCACGGAUUGCAGAAAAUACUAGUUAUUUAACGACACUUUUUACUAAUCAUAGCGGUAUUAUAUAACACAGCUAUUUGACAACACUAAUUAGAAGUUAAAUAGGAAAGUCCUAAUUGUUGUUUUUUAGUAUGCAAGAGGAAGGUAGAUGGAAUACCUGCUCAAGGAUGCAACCCUUGCGAAGUGCAACUAAACACUCAACUGCUUUGGCAUAGUUAUCACCUUCAUGGGAAUCCUCUACCAUAUCAAAUAUUUUAUUUUUCAUAUCGUUGAUAGCUUUUAGAACCCAGUCUGGACUGUCUCGGCGUGAAAUCAUGGCUUCAAAAUCUUGGACCGGAGUUGAAUCCCCAAUUUUCUCGACUUUAAUAGACGUAUAUUCGAUGAGAUUGGCAGGCGGGGCUGUAAUGUUUUCUUUACCUUCAUCAUUUAUCUUUUCUCGCAAUAAACGCCUUGGCUUUUUCUGCAUCAAGAUAUUUUGAAUGUAAAACUCAUCUAAAGUUAGUUAUGAUUACUCUUCCAGAAGCUAAGCUGAGAACUCAUUCUUACCAAGGGAUUUCCCUGCUGAUCAAAAGACCUACGAAAUGAGUCAAUGACAGCUUGGUUUUGCAAAACAAGGUCGGUCUCAGGUUCUGUAAUUUUUCGGAGUGUGUAAUCGAGAGGAGGUACCGCAGCAUCUGGAUGCUUUGAUUUCAGAUCAAGAUAAUGAUAAAAGCGCUGAAAGAUAUAUGAAUAUACUGGUUAGCUUUAGCUUAUCACUAUUUUUAAUUUUCUGGGAGAGUUAGUUAGAAAGGAUUAAGGCAUUAAGCAUAAUUUCUCCAAACCAUAUCGCAUCCAGUAUUACCUAUAACCAACGGGGCAUGCUAAAUGCAGAUUCAUAGAUCAAGUAACAAUCAUAAAACAAAAAAAUCCUAUGUUAAAAACCAAACCUUAAACACUUCUAAGAGAAAAAUCGGAAGGAAAAUGAAACAUGGAAUAUUUACCGCCAGUACUGGAUUUGGUGUAAAGUCAGGCAGCAAAACUUCCUUCUCCCCGUCCGGUGCAAGAUCAAGCAUUUUAAUGAAGUUAGCUGCUGAUUCUAGUUGUUGUUUGUUUGGUUGACACGAUGCUGGGAAGUUAGUGAAGGAAGGAAAUUGAAACUCUCGCACAUCCUCAGCAAAAGGAAGAACGUUGAAGUAAAAUGAAUCAGGCUGCACCACGCAAUCAGAGAAACAAGAUAUUAUUUAAUAAAAAAUGAAGUUGCGGAAUAGAAACAGUGAUAGUGAACUAAUAAAUAACACAAGAAACUGAGACAAAAAAAAGAACCUACAAUAUUUUCUCUAUCAGAUACAUUGGGUGUCAAAACCCCAAUGACAACACUCCCUUGUCCAUGUCUCCAAACGCACCGUAAAAUUGCCACCUUAUUCAUUUCCCUCAUAGCCCUUGCUAGGGCAGAAACUGCAAGGCCAGCUUUUGUAUUUCCGGUUUCAGCUAUGAACACAUAGGCCUCUUUCAUGUAUUGGUGUCUUCAAUGGAGAUUUUAAAACAAAAAGAAAAUUAUAAUUUGUUAGGAAAUCUCCUUUAGGUUUUAGGAAAAUUGAAUCAGAUACGUUUUAUUUAAGCAUAUGCAAUCUUACCUCAAUACAUUUGAAGAAUCAGUAAAUCCCAAAAGCUUCACGCCCUUUUCCGGUUUGAACUUUACAGCAUCCCACUCAGCAGUGGAUAUAGGAACAAUUUGAGGCCCAUAUCGAUAACCUUUAAUUCUUUGGUCCGGAGGAAUAACUUUAUCUGGAUCAUCAGAACUCUUGUACUCAUAAUCUAUUUUGACUUCAUGUGUUGCGAAUUUAUCAGAUUGAGGAGCCUUAUCAGAGUAUUUCUUCAGAGUUGGAAAUUUCUCUUCUUGUGUUUUCUUGUAUACCAUAACCUGAGUAUCAUUUAAGUUUUCACAAAAAAAAAUGCUUUUUCUUAGAAAUGUCGCUUUAUUUGUCAGAAAAUAAAAAAUAAUGACACUUAAAUAAGGCAUUCAUCAUGGACCUAGAGAUUGAAUCUACAGGUAUUGCAAAUCUCACCUUAAUCCUCAGUUUUGGGCUGAAUUCAAGAUCCCCUCUGAAAACAGUAACUGGAGUUAUAUUUCGAGUUUUAAGAGCACCAAACAAAGAAAUUGGAUCCUCCACAUACAACAAUCUUGUCGAUGUUUCCUUAGAAAAAAUAUUCAAAAGACGGUCAUUCUCAUCCAUUAUUUCCUUGUUUGCAUCUUGACUAAGCUUUCCUCUCAUAAUUAUACUUUCCAUUCUCAUACCAUGAGCUGUCAUCUGUUUAGCAAUUGUGGUAACUUGCUCUUCUUUUGAUCCUUCAUAAGGAUCUUUUAUUGGACAUUGUGCAUUUGUAAUAAGGCAAAUACGUUUCUUUCCCUUGAUAGUGUCUCCAAACUUUUUUAUUAACAUAUCCAUGGCAACAAUGACAGCAUCAAGAACUAAAAUCGAAGUCAAGGUAACCAGAAAGGAGUAAAACAAAGCUAAUCAUGUUCCUUUGCAUGAGGAAAGGAUUGACUUCUUGGGAAAAUAAGCAAUUAAUAAUUUAAUACAUCACUUAUAUUUUAGGGUUUAAUAUGUUUUUAGUCCCUAUAACAUUCACAACUUUCAAGUUUAGUCCCAAGAUAAAUUUUGUCUAACUUUAGUUCCAAUUUAACUUUUAUAAAUUAUAAGACUAAAGACACUCGUUUUUUGGGUUAUUUUUUAAAUGGGGACAAAAAUUAGACAAAAUUUAUUUAGGGAUUGAACAUUAAAACAUGAAAUAAAUGGCAGUGAGAAUACACAAUAGGAAUCAGAAACAAAAAUCUAUGAAACCUUAUAAUCUAAGAGAAAAAAUUCAUCAAAAGAGAUAACUUUUAGUGACAUAUGGUCUAGUUAUUUUCCAUAAACUAGUAGCAUGGCUAUUUUGAAGUAGGUUAAAAUUCAAAAGCUUUUUUUCAUUGAAUAAGAUACACAAUAUGAGAGGGCGUGUAUAACUUUGUGGAUACAAUCACCGCCAUUUGUUCCUCGAGGAAGUUGUUGUAAAGCCUCAACAAUGUCUCCAUCCACAACUUUAGUAUUUCUCAAAACCACAACAUGCUGAUAUCCACCCACUUCUGUAGUUAGUUCGUUAUCCGUGUCUGAAAAAGUAGUCACAAACAUGGGUAAGAGAUGCCUUUGAUUGAUCAAACUCCAAAAACAACAAAACUACAGAAACUACAGAAGUCUUUUCCUAAUAGGUGGGGUCAACUGCAAUGAUCAAAAGGAGUCAUGAUAUCCUAUCAUAUCAUGUCUAAAGAUAAACCAUUUAAAUCUAUAAAAAAAUUCAAUGGUUAGAAAAAAUAUUUUUUACUCCGUACUUGGUUUUCCUCUUGUUACUAGACAAUCAUCCGUCUAAUCUACUUUUGUUAUUGAUGCUUCUACUUCUACAUGAUGUCUGUACACAUGCCCAAAAUACAUGCUACCUCAACAAUUUCUUUAAUAUAUUCCCUUUUUAAUUCUAUCUUGUUUUGUACAUCAACUCACCUAUCUUGAUAUUCUUAUCUCUACAAAGUUGAACUUUUUUUCUUGUUGGCCUAGUACGACCCAACACAUACUAGAAACCGGAUCAAAGUUCUUGAUUAAAAUGGAAAAUCUUGAUUAAUAGAGACCGGAUCAAAAUUCUAAGUAAGAAAAGGCCAAAGGUUAUGAAGACAGAAGAAUCAAAGAUUCCCCAAGAUUUUCGAGAAACCUAGACUCUCCCCAACCAGAUCCCGAUUCAUUGAUAACCCCUCUCAUUUCCCUCCAACCAUUAUAUUUUCCUCUCUUCUAACUAACCUAACUAGUCAACUGUAGUUAAUUCUUCUAUGUAGAAUGUGUGGCCUAACCUAUAAGCACUACUUAGUUCAUAUCUCUAUCUAGUCAAUGUGGGGCUUCAACACGAUGCUUAAGAGGAACAUAUGAAGCAUGGACUAAUGAAUGUGAAAUAACAAUAAUCUCAACACACACUCUUACACCCAAGACUGAACAUCUAGAGUGUGGACAAAUUCAAGUGGAUUAACAAAGAUAAUGGCUUUAUAAGAAAUCUAGGUCAGGUACCGAUACAAAUACCAUCUUAAAAUUUGAGCUUAUGAUCUAACUCAACCUCACAAUACCAACUGGUAAGAUGAACACCGUCAAGCCUUUAUAAGAACUACUUAGGCCAUAUCUUGAGCUGCUGUGGAACUCUACGACUAAGAUGUAAACACAAGGGUUCCGUAGCACCAUUCCAUCCUAAGCGCCAUUGCACCACACAUGGGGAGCAUGUUGUCAAAAAAUCCAACAGUUAGUUACCAUCAUUUAGUUAGUAUCCCAUGGUAGUAAGGAAGAGAGAGAUAUUACAACAUAUAUAUAAUAGGGUUUAGGGCUUAAGAGAGGAAAAGCAUCUUGUCGAUUGAUUUAAGAAUUGGGAUUUCAGGUUAGAGAAUUGAAAAAAUUCUUCCAUUGCAAUCCACCAUGGCCGCCAUUUCAUAAAAACCGAACAUUUUAUUAUAAUUUUCUACCAUUCUAAUCUAAUACAGUAAAAGGCUUCUAAAACCAAUGUAUUUGACAUGUAACAAGAAUGAAAAACACCAAAUAAGCACCAACAAAGUCAACAAAAAUGCAUUACAUAUAUGCACCAUAGACACCAAAAACAUGACACCCACACUCACAUGUUGACAUUAGUAAUAAUUUUUAAAAAAUGAAUAAAUUAAACAUAAUUACAGAGUGCAUCAUCAUAAAGAUUAGAGUAAAUACCUUCAGUUCCAAAUAAGACAAUUCCCACUUCAUCAUACUUGUUAUAGAUCAACUGCAUAUUAUUAUACGAACAAAAAAAAAAACAAAUAAAAGGAUAAUGUUAGUUAUUGAAGCUCUUAGUAACCAAAAAAUAAACACAGGAAUGGAACAAUAACAGUACAUAAUCGGUGUAAAAAGUUCUACAGAAACUUAAAGGGAUUAUGAAUACCUUCUUCUGUACAAGCAUGGAACAGACUUUCUCGACUUCGGGAAGAACACAAUGCAUGGAUGGUCCCACAUCAAGCAGCAAAAGCAAAGCUUCCUGAAUCAAUUUCACAUUUAACCGUUCAAAAAGGGGAAGAUGAGAGAAAAAAAUAGAAGUAAAACCCUAAACCUAGAAGAAUAGAGUAAGGGUGUUGGAAAAGGAAGAGAAAUGGAACCUUGUUUCGAGCCAUGGAUGGUGGAAGAAAAGAAUGUAAGGUUAAGCUCGGAGAAGAAGACGGAUUCUCUCAAUCUUCUUCCCGCUUCAAAAGGUUUGGUUGAAUACCUAAAGUCAAAUUCGUUUCUACUAAAUUCAGAGUGUUGUGUUGGUUUUGUAGGCUCAUUCUCUAAUGUAUGCGUGGGAAAGUUGAAUUGACUUUUAUUCGUUUUCUACCGUUUGAUAAAUCGGACCGCUAAAACGUUUCCACGUGGCCAAAUUUUUUGUCAAUAAAGGAAAUUAAAACAAUUUUUGGAGAAUGCUACACAAUAGAUCGCCAACCAAAGACAACCUAGUAAAGUGAGGUCCCUUCUGACACGAUAAUAUUAUCUGCGUUAGCGGGUGUUGAGAGGUUGAGUCGACUUCUCACCAUUUUUUUUAGUGUCCUAUAUUUGUAGGAAUAUGGUCACGGGUUUCAGGUGGCUAGGAUUGUUGUUGAUGUUGCCAAAAGAGUGUGUGAAUCAUUUAGAACAAUUUGAAACACUACUCGACAGUGGAAAAAAUACAGUUAGCAGAGUCAGAGUGGUCUGGUUCGCAUGCAUCUGGUGCAUUUGAAAAGCGAUGAAUAAGAAGAUUUUUAAUAAUAAGGUUGAAUUAGUUGAACAGAUGUUUGAAGUUAUUCAAAGGAUUUAUUGGAACUGAUUGAGUAACAAUCUUAAAUUUCAAAAUUGUGACUUGAUGCAGUGGUACUUGAACCUUAUACUAAUUCUUCGUUAAGGGGGAGGGAUUGGAGGUCGGUAGGGGUGUAGCUAUCAGGGGAUCAGAGGUAGAGUUCGUUCGAGCAUAUUUGUGUUGUCGUGUAGCCUGCUUUGUUUCCAACUAUUUUGCAGGUCGGAUUCGUCUAGUUCAAGUGUGAGUUGUAGUAUUAGGCUUCUUGUGACUUUUGUCAAUGUAGGCAGUUUGUUAGUUUGUUGGUGGUAGCUUGUUGUUUAGAGUUUUUUGCGUUAUGGAGCCAGACUGUUUUAUUGAGAGUCUCACCAUUCGCGAUGGUUUAGGCUCUUGUGAGCUUUCUUUUUCUAGUUGUGUAAUCAGUAGCAUUUUUUAUUCUGAUUGUCAUGGGCUGUUGAACUAUUUUUUCUAGUUUUUUAGGUCGCCACAUGUUUGGCCUCUAGUUGGUGCAGGUUAAAUUUCUUAUUCAUGCAUGUUAUUCUAUCUUUUAGGUGUUUCCUUUGUAAUAUUAUAUGUGAUUGCUUUGUAAGGUUUAGUUUUUCUCUUCACAUCUUGUGCUUAGUGUAGACAAUCUAAUAUAUUUAGCUUCUUCACACAAAAAAAGUGGCGAACAAAAUCAAUUACAAAUUGUAUUUGCAUUCAUCUUGUUUUUAGUGGCAUCUAUCAUGUAAAAAAAUAAGAUAUUCUGAAAAAGACAUUCCUACCAUUUUCUCUUUAUCUGACACAUCUUCUUUUCAAGGGCAAUUUUUGUCUAAAAUAACAAUUUCUUAACUAAAUAUACCAUAUGGUUUGAAACAAACCAAAACAUCCUUGUUGUCUCCUCGAAUUCCCUUUUGUUUUUAUUAUAAUACACUUAUUUUGUAACUAUUGCACUUAUUUUAUUUUUACACAGCAUAACCUUUCCCUCUUUAACGAUAUAGCUUUAAAAAAACAUUUUUUAAUUAAACAAUGUAGCAUCACUUUGUCUUUAUAUUAUCGCUUAUUGCACGUUUCCUUGCCUUUCUUUUUCUUCUGCAAAUAUAUCAUAUCUCUCUUCUUGUGUAUCUCUUCCUUCUUCCAACAUUUUUUCAUCUCAACUUCUCUCUUCUUUCUUCUGUAAGUACAACUUCAACUCUACUUCCAACCCUCAUUUCCCAUCGUCUUCCUCCAACUUUUCUUCAACAUGGCAAGACCUUUUGAGAUGAUCAAGGAUAUUAAUGACCGUAAAGAACUUUGAAAUAUUGGUGUCAAAGUCCAUCACAAAUGGAAGGUUACUUCUAAUACAAGGGAGCAUUUUGAGCUUAUUGUUAUAGACAAAUAUGUGAGUUUGUAUUGUCCUUUUUAAUCCGUUUUACCUUUCGAUGUUUGUAUCAUUUUUAUGAUUGUGUCUCUUUCCUUUUACCUAUUUAUGCUUCAUUCCUUUUUAGGGUUGUGUAUUGUUCUGUAUUAUCUGGUUUUCUGAUUUUUUUCCAUUUUUUCGUCAGAAAAUCGUGGUUUUUAAUGGUCUUUGCCCUGGAUUCUAUUUUGUUAUGGUUUUUAUUGGUUUGUGUUUUUUAUGAUAGAUGUUUGUUUCAUUUAUUUUUGUAUUACAGCUUAUGUCAAGUUUAUGGUCCACAUUUUUUAUGGUUUAUGGUUUAGUGUCAUACGGUGAACUGACUUGGGGUGUUUUGCUUAUUAUCGCAAUGUCGCGGAUAGCAAGAGUCGCCACCGACUUUUCUUUUAUCCAAUAAGGAAAGGUGGAAAAGAACAGGAAAGACCUCAAUAGAUUUUGGAUUCGGGAGGUACAUUGUACAAAGGGAAUGUGUUAGCACCCUUUGUAUCCAUGGUUAUCCAUGGGCUCUUAAUUGCUGGAUCACUUAUAUUUUUGUCUGAAAAGUGUUCGUGAAUUGUUUAAAAAAUGUUUCGAAAAAAUUUGUAACUUUGUAAAUGAUUCUCGUAUGAAUGUAUAACAAGUAUUAUCUCGUUGAUGUUGAAAAACGGUUAGAAAAAUGAACUUGGUAAUGAUUCUAGUAUAAUAUACGAAGUGGAUUCUUAGAUUGCAAAAGUGUGAGGGGGAAAGGAGGUUAUGAAUCCAGCAAUAGAGUUAUACCUUCCUAAGUCGUUAUGAACGUCCUACCUUAGAGUAAAACUGUCGCUUACAUAAAAGUAAGUAAUUUUACCCUUUGGAUGUUUAAGCAGUCAGGGUCAUCGAAGUCAUUAGGCAACAGUUGUAAGAUCCUUAGCAUUGAAGGACGAUCAUCAUUUAACCGUAGGCUACAUCGAAGGGUCAUCGAGGGACGAAACAUAUAUUCGAAGGCAACAGCCGAGACUAUGAUUUAUUUAUGAUGAUUAAUCGAAGGGCCAUUGCUAAGUGUACCCACAUUCGCGGACAUGACCGUGGUACCGUAAUAUCGAAAGGCAAAAGAGAGGUCCAAGAUCACAUAUUUAGAGACCGUAUUUAACAAUCGAUUAGGUAAUUAGGAUGAAUCUCCACAUUAAAAUUAAUACAUUAAAAAUUAGGUAAUUAGGGUGAAACUCCACAAGGGUACCCACAAAUAAAGUGGAAACCUAGACAUCAAUCUUUCCUGGGAAAGGGUGAACCUUUACAAAAUCAGCAAACGGGUUAGAGUACCAAGCAGAAUGCAAUCAAGGAUUGCACCGCAAAAGAAACCAAAACAGCAGUAGGGUCACAUAAACAAUGCAUGGCUAUGAUAAACAUGACAGGUUAGCAAAGACAGAAAGAAAUCAGCGACGUCCCGGUCGCCGCUGCCGCGCCUACGAAGGCUUAGCGAAACUCGCUGCAUGCUCGCUUAGCAGUGCAGCAGCGCUGCGGAUUCUGGUUGGAUAACAGCAUAAUCCAGCAAGCUCACACCCUUAUCUACCAUUACAGAGUAUGUGGUUAGACAUUCAGAUGUUCACAUACUUAAAUUCAUAUGUAAAACUAAAGAUAGGUUUCAUAAAAAUUCAAUCAUGAAUACCAAGCAAAUUAAGAACAAAGGUAGUAAUAGCAAGCCAACCUGUUUGUAAUCGAAUUGUAACCAUUGAAAUUGGCCGAUCGGAUUCGAAUAGCGGAAUGACCUUGUGCCGCCGGCUUUCCUCAGGGUUCCUUUAGGGUUACUCGGAAUUCGCAGGGUAGCUCCAGAAUUUGCCGUCGUGCAGCGCUAGGGUGCUUCUAGGUUGCCCAUUCGUCCUUUCGUCCCCUCAUUACUGACGCGGAAUUUGAAAUCCUUUGUGGAACCUAAAGGCCAGAGUGGAAGCCCAGAAGCGUUAUCGGCCACUCCUAGGCGAGCGUGUAGCGAACGUUCGCUAGGCGAAGGAUUUGCUCGCCUAGCGAGCAGGCCAGUUUGGGCCAUUUUCUGGAUUGGGCCAUUCGUGAGCUGGGCCUUUGUUCCUUUAAGAUCAGCGUCAUAAAAAUGAGUCGGAGUGCCCUGAAAAAUGUCUUAAAAUAUUAAUGGGCAAAUUUUGGGGUAUGACAUUUAGCAUCAAGGUUAUUAGUGGUUUGUGUUACAUAUGUCAAUGGGUAUACAUUAUUUGAGGUUUCCAUUAUAUCUUUGCAUUUAUUUUGCUUUAUAUCUUUGUACUAUAAGUAAGGUUGCAUCUGGUCAUUUUAGGUUUAGGUUUUGGCAUCAACUAAUGUUUAGGGUUUAACAUUUACAUGGUAUUAAUAUUCAUGUGAUUGUUCCAACAAUGUUUAAGAAAACAUUCAAUCCAGUUUUAUCGAUUAACGAGACUUGCACCAUUGCAAACUUCCAAGUUCAACUGAAUGAUUUAAUGUUCAAAGCGUCUAACCAUAAAUAUUUGUUGAAAUUCACUGGUGGAACAACAGUAUGAGACAACAAAAAACAUGAAAUUCCUGAUAACGUUAUUAAGUUCACCUUUUUUGCUGAUAUAAUUUUAGGCAAAUGGAAGAAAAAUCUCCUUAUAGGUACAGUUUUUUAUGCCUCAUUUUCUGAUUCAUGAAUCAUUUUGACAUACGCAUUAUAACCAUUAUUCCAAAUAUAAAUACAUAUGUAAUAGGGAUGGUUGGUGAAAUAGGAUACACACAAUCACAAUCAGGGAGUAAAAAACUGCAGGUUAACUUGGUCUUGAAAGAUUUGGGAUAUGUUAUGUUACAACUCAACAUUAAUUUUGGUUUUUUUUCUUACUUCUAUUUCAUUUACUAUGUUUUUUGUAUCCAUUUCACGACACGUGGAAACAACACCAUCAAUUGUACCCUAUGGGAGGCGUACGCUUCGCAAUUUUUCACUUACAAACAGAAAAAGACAUAUGUGUCUUUGCCAACUAUUAUUGUACCGCAGUAUGCCAAAGUUAAGGAAGAAGGUUAUUACAUAUAUGAUGAUGGAAUCCAUUUUCCUUUCCUUAAUGUUGUUGACAUUUAUAACCAUGUUAAUUUCUAAUUAUUGUAUACAACUUAAUGACAUUCUAUUUUUGUAGGUAAGUAUCCACUUUUUGUUACAAACACUUACAAUGUUACCAAAAUGCAUAUCAAUGAGGAUUUUCCUCACAUCGUCGAUUUUCGUAAUAGGUACUCUAUCUACAAUAUAUAUACGUCAUUAUGAUUAGAACUUUUACAUACUUUAGUCAAAUAUGAUUCCUCCUUCAUCCAUGGUUUAGGAUGCCUAAGGAUUAUUUGGUAGAGACUUCAGGCCAAGUUAUGAGCAUACAAUCCCAUCUUUGGUCAUAGAACUCUUCAACAUCUCAGCUCACUCCUUAUGACAAAUUCCUAGCAAAGGUUAUCCAUCUUCCUCUGUUUCGCAUUAUAAAACCACAUGAUGUAUAUCAAUCUUAUUUCUUUUACAAAGGUUUUCUCUCUCUCUCUCUCUCUCUCUCUCUCUCUCUCUCUCUCUCUCUCUCUCUCUCUCUCUCUCUCUCUCUCUCUCUCUCNNNNNNNNNNNNNNNNNNNNNNNNNNNNNNNNNNNNNNNNNNNNNNNNNNNNNNNNNNNNNNNNNNNNNNNNNNNNNNNNNNNNNNNNNNNNNNNNNNNNNNNNNNNNNNNNNNNNNNNNNNNNNNNNNNNNNNNNNNNNNNNNNNNNNNNNNNNNNNNNNNNNNNNNNNNNNNNNNNNNNNNNNNNNNNNNNNNNNNNNNNNNNNNNNNNNNNNNNNNNNNNNNNNNNNNNNNNNNNNNNNNNNNNNNNNNNNNNNNNNNNNNNNNNNNNNNNNNNNNNNNNNNNNNNNNNNNNNNNNNNNNNNNNNNNNNNNNNNNNNNNNNNNNNNNNNNNNNNNNNNNNNNNNNNNNNNNNNNNNNNNNNNNNNNNNNNNNNNNNNNNNNNNNNNNNNNNNNNNNNNNNNNNNNNNNNNNNNNNNNNNNNNNNNNNNNNNNNNNNNNNNNNNNNNNNNNNNNNNNNNNNNNNNNNNNNNNNNNNNNNNNNNNNNNNNNNNNNNNNNNNNNNNNNNNNNNNNNNNNNNNNNNNNNNNNNNNNNNNNNNNNNNNNNNNNNNNNNNNNNNNNNNNNNNNNNNNNNNNNNNNNNNNNNNNNNNNNNNNNNNNNUAUAUAUAUUAUAUAUAUAGUUAUAUACUAUAUAUAUAAUAUAUAUAUAGUAUAUUUUAUAUAUAUAUUAUAUAAUAUAUAUAUAGUAUAUAUAUAUAUAUAUAUAUAUAUAUAUAUAUAUAUAUAUAUAUAUAUAUAUGAUUAUAAUAUAUAUUUAUGUUAAUAUAUAUAUAAUAUAUAUAUUUGUUUUCCAUUUCUUUAUAAUUGAUAUUUCAUUUUAUGCUACUCUUUGUAUUACAUUUUGUAAUACAAUCGCCACCAUUGACAAACUCAUAGCUUCACAAUACAUAUGGUAUUAUAAAGCAUGACAUCAAUGUCCAAAGGUUGUCGAGGGGGAGAAUUCACCCUUUAUAUGUGCAGAUGAGCAUACCACUGAAGUUGAAAUAUGGAGGUUGACUUUUCCUACCUUUCAUGUUGGAACACUUAACUUUUAUAAUACAUUAUACAUCUGACACUUAUGUUUAAAUUGAAGGUUUAAAAUUGAAAGUGAAGUUGGUCAGUUUGAAUGUCGUUCUAACUUUAUCUUUUGAGACCGAGAAUGUGCAUAUCUUUUAGGAGUAUCUGAUGCUUAACUACGCAACCCAAUGAUCUAGGUUAUGAAAUCAGUAUGUCCUUCAUAUGUUACUAACUUGAAUAUUCUUAUAUAGGCCAUUUUGUUCAAUGCAUUAACAUGGUUCCCAACAUCCUAUUAUUUUGUAUACCCAUUGCCUUAUAUAGGCCAUUUUGUUUCUAAUUAUUCUUACUUUACAUAUUCAACAACUUUACGGAAUUGCCUUAAACUAUAAUAUAUUGUCUUUUGUAGAUUAAGAAAAUCGCUGACAAGGAAAAUAUUAUUGAUGAUUAGGAAGUCGUCACAGUAAUUUUACGAGAGAUCCAUUUCAUAUAAAUGAUCAGUUAUCGCACUUGCAUCUGAAAGCUGCUACGGGUGGUCGUAGAAGCUCUUUGGUUUUUGUACCAAAGGCGUGUUAGAGAGUAGUUUUUUUCCCAGUGAGUGCUACGGGCCGUGUUAUCCAACACGAAUGUCCGUAGUAGCUAUUUGGUUUUAUACCAAGCACGCCGUUUUGUGCGUAAUUUGAGUUUCGUGACUCCGUUUGAGGCGUUGGGAAGCUGACACGUAGUACUACCUCAGUAAUAUCUUAGAGGUUAUAUGCAUGUAUGAUGAUGGGAAUCAAACAUUCUAAAUGUGUAAAAUGAGUUGUUUAUUUUGAUUGAUAGUAAAGUGGUUCGUGACUUUGCCGACUGUUGAUGAAUUGGGUGAGUUGAGUUAUUGUGUUAGGGUUGUGUGAACAAAAUAAGUAAUAUUUUGUGUCGGUCUGAUUUCUUCAUAGUCGAGUCGGUGAGUAUUUACAUAAUUAAUUACUACGUCUUCAUUUCAUAUAUAUUUUAUUGAAUUAUGUUGAGAAGUGUAGUUUAGAAGGAACUAUUGUGGUGACCUGAUGUUGGCGGUGUUUACGGUUCGAAGAGGAAUUAUUGUGGUGACCUCAUGUUGGCGGUGUUUAUGGUUCAAAGAGGAACCAUUGAUGAUUAUUACAUUUGUAUUUUGUUGUUGCAUUUCAUACAUCAUGAAUUAUCAGAGAUAGGUGUACGAACUUUGGUCCAAAGACGAGUCGAUCGUUCAGAAGAGGGGAUCAAUGACGAGUUUAGGUUCGAAGAGGAAUCUUUGGUGAGUGGACGGAAUCAGUAACAUAACUUUGAUGUCUAAAAUUGGUACCACAUGCAUAUUAUAGUAAAUGAGAAGAGUAAAUUGCAUUCAUUCUUAUAUAUGUGAAUGAUUAUGUUGUGAGUGAUUAUUAUUGUGUAUGGUGAUUGUUGUGGAUGAAUAUCAUGAAUGAUUAUUUAUGUUGAUUGUACAAUCCUCGAUGUUUUAUGCAUUGUUAACUUACGAGAAUGAAUUCUCACCCUAGUUUGUUUUUCUUUGUUGUUUUUACGCUUGUGAUGCAUAUACUCAGGUAGGGACUAAGAAGCCUUAACAUUUGGUUGCCUUGGAAUAUGGCAUUACUGGCAUUCUUCGCAUUUUAUUAUUUAUGUCAGUGUUAUUUAUAAUUCCCAUGUGUCGCUCUGAAUACUGUAACACUGGGAUGGGAUUGUCGUUGAUGUUUAUUUUCAGAGUUGUUUAAUUUUUAAAACCUUAGGGUUAUCCGAAGUUGUUUUAUGAGUUUUCAAGGAUUAAUUAAAAUAUAUUGAGUUUUCAUAAAUGAAUUCUGCUUUUUUAUUAAAUUGUUGAGAAAUGAUGUUUUAUGUAGAGAAUGUGACACACUUGUGAGUGCAUUAUUUUAAUUAUGAUUUCUGAAUGUUUUAUUAGUAAAGUGUCAGGGGUUGUUAAGAGUGUUACGGUAUGAACUCUUGCAAUAUUUAUCAAAACAAAAAUGAACAUAACAAGUUCAAAUCGGAAACCAUUAAAGAAUGAAGUAGGCAAAGCGAGGACGGACGUCAAACUACUAUAUAUCCUGAUGUACUCUCUCUUUCUUACCCUUACAUUUAAUUUUCGCAGGAUAAUUGCAUGCUUAGAUUUUAAAUUCUUAGCGUGGUUUGUCGUUUAUUCAGUUAGUAGCAAUUUCUUACGUAAGGUUAUAUUUUAUUAGAAUUGGUACCUAAUUGAGCUUUAGUGGUGAUUAAAUUCUAGAAAACUAGUAUUGUGACAAUCCCAUCAUAAUUGAAAUGUAGUAUUGGACACAUCUCGUGUAAUAUACAAUCAUUCAAUUAUUCAUUAUUGAACAAUAUGUGAGUUUUGUGAAUUGUGUAUCUGUCGACGUGAUUGAAAUCCAAUAAAAGUAUAAAUCUCCAUUUUCACUUUAAAACUUUCACGCGGAAUUUGGCAAAACCUCUAAUAUUUCAUUUUUGGAAAAUAUGUUGAUUUUUUGUAUAAGGUUCUAUUCANNNNNNNNNNNNNNNNNNNNAUCUUAGACUGAUUUUCUACCCCAUAUUCUCACCCAACAGUCGAUGUUCUUUGAUCUUUCAUAUUGAUCUAGCUUCAAUGUAAGAUAUUAGUUGUCUUGAUGCGAUGUAUGUAGAGAAAAAUGUGUGUGAUAAUUUGAUUGGAAGAAUUCUAAAUAUUCAAGUGAAGACAACAAAUGGGAAGAGUUCACGUCAAAAUAUGGUGGCGAUAGGUAUACGACAAUAAUUGGCUCUAAAAUAAUUAGGAAAAAUAACAGAUUUUCCCUCGACAUGUCACAAUUUCUCUAAAAAGGAAAAUUGUGAGGGUUUGCAUGGUAUCAAAAUUCUCCAAUGGUACUCAUCAAAUAUCAAGAAAAUUGUAAAAAUGAAAUAUCUCAAGUUAACUGGCUUAAAAUCUUAUGAUUGUCAUGACUUGAUGCAACAACUUCUACCCGUGGCUAUCUGUAGCAUUUUUUUAAAAAAAAGGUAAAAGUAACUAUAAUUAAAUUAUGUUUAUUCUUUAAUGUUAUAUGUAAUAAAAUACUUAAUUUCAAAAAAUUAGAUGAAUUAGAAGACGAGGUUGUUGUAAUUUUGUAUCAAUCAGAGAUGUAUUUUCCUCCAUCAUUUUUUAACAUUAUGGUUACUUAAUUAUGCAUCUAGUUAAGGAAAUCAGUUUUUGUGGUCUAGUUUAUUUAAGAUGGGUGUAUCUAAUAGUGUGAUACAUGAAGAUCUUUAAAGGAUAUACGAAGAAUCACCACCAUUUGAAAACUUCGAUCUUUGAAAGGUACACUACAAAAGAAGCUAUUAAGUUACGUUUAAACUAUUUGUCAAAAGCGGACUCUAUAGAAAUUCCAAAGACUCGUCAUGAUGACAUAUAUGAAGAUAGAGGUACUCAAGGUUUAAAUGUCAAGUAUGAUUCGAGAUGUAGUUCUUCAAGCACAUUUGUAUAUAUUGAAUAAUAUUGAUGAAAUUCAACCUUAUUUAUAUGCUCACAAAAGACUUAUCAAGGAAAAAUAUCUUCGAACGAAUGACAAGUGGUUGUUGAAAGAGUAUAACAAGAAUUUCAUAAAUUGAUUUAAUGAAAUAAUUUCUAAUAAUGAUAUUCCAUCAGAGACAAUUAAAUGGAUAUGAUACAUGUAUAAAUUUUACUUUUAUAUAAAAUAUUAUAUGAAUUUGAUUACUCAUUGUUCAUUGUUUGUGUGUGCGUGUUUGCAAAAGCAAAGAUUUUGAGUUACUAGAAUUUCAUAAUUUAAAGCUACAUUAUCUUUCUACAUCCUUUAGUUUUAUAAAAUCUCUUGAGAGAUCAUCAUUAAAAGAUUUGUAUGAUGAUAUGUGAUACAUAGUAUGGAUUAAUUCAUAGUUUUGAAACUUGCAUUAUAUAUUUUUUUUCUAGCCACUAGUUUGAUGUAUUUCAAUGAAGAAUGUUCCCAUUAAAUAUUAGGUAAAGAAGUUAAUAUGAUUUGAGUCUUAUUAUCUUUAUGAUCAUGUAAUCAAGAGUUAACAAUUUAGUUGCUUGAAUAAUCAUACCAUCAACUUAAUCAUAUGUUUCAUUCAAAAAUUAAAAUUUCAACUUUGACAAAUAUUAAUGUGAUAUCAUGGUGACAAUGAACAUCUUAUAAUCAUUAAAGUGCUUCAAAACCUAAAAAAAACACCAUUAAAGCACCCAACUGAGAGCAUUAAAAUUUGUAAAGGAACCAAAGAUACAUGUUAUACUAAUAUCCAAUAUUAUGUGUGCAAGCAUUGAAAAAAUACUAAGAAUUAUCAAUGUUUUAGCCUUAACAAACCUAAGCAUGGUAAUACUCCAGACGUUUUCGCUGUAAAUUAUUUUUUUACGGGAGAAUAUUCAUUUCUAGUCUCCAAAAAAUAUUCUGACUUUAGGAGGGAUAAAAAGAUCCAUCAAACGUCACAAAUUAUCAUGUACCUUUAGAUCGUCAUUGUUCAUAAAAUAUUCAACGCACGCCAUAGAAUCACUCUUAUAGUAUAUUUACCCUAUAUAUAAAUCCUCUAAAUGAUCUCCCCUAAUUUAUAAAUUUAUAAUAGAAGGACCUUAAUAAUUUCAACCAAACCGUAAAAAAAACAAGUGGUUCAUUCUAGUUACCUGUAAUGGGAUUAAUGAGCUGAUUAAAUAUAAUAUGAUGAUAUGAGAUUAAAGGGUUAGCGUGAACUCAAGCAUUACCUUCACUAGAAACCCAAGCACCCGAUAAAAUAUGGAUGUCUCAGUUAUCACUGAUAUUCUAACAUUGUCAUUACUCUAACACCAUCAUAAAAGUCUAAAUAUUACGCCAAAUGUAACUUGGAUUAAGACCGACCAUUGAGCCCACACAAUUUUCUUAAAACUUUUGGUUUCCUGAAAGACCUUUAAAAUUAUAAAAUAUGAUUUAUAUAACAAUUUUCAACCUUGAUAGGUUAACCCUAAAAAUAUGAAGAAAGCACGUGUUUUUCCAUUUCAAUUAAUUUUUUAAAUAGUAUAUUGAAUAUAAUUAUUGAUAUUUCUUAAAUAACGAAUUAAAAUAAUAAAAGAAUUGUCCUCUGCGAAAAUUAAAAAUGAAAAAUAUUAGUUUUCCUUUGAUGUAUUCUGUUAAAUAUUGAAUUAGGAAAACGUAAACAUCAAGCCCGUCUAGCUCAGUUGGUAGAGCGCAAGGCUCUUAACCUUGUGGUCGUGGGUUCGAGCCCCACGGUGGGCGAAAUAUCUUUUUGAAGUUUUUGUCCAAUCAAAGGGCUUUAUCAUUUUUUUAUACAUUGAAUUAAACGGGCCCAAAUUCAAAUUGGAAUUCUCCUCUCUAUUCAUUACAAAAAUAUGAUAAAAAAAGCUUUCUAAAAAUUGCUAAUUAUUUACUUAGACUGAAAAACUUGCCAUUAACUUUGAACUCCAUAUACAUAAAGAUUAAAGGCUAACUUAUACUUAUAAUUUUUUAUAUUCUAGGUUGUAAUAUAAUAUCUAUAAGGCAAUUCCAAAUAAUUGAUGCAACAUAUUCCUUUAAUAAUAAGUAAUUAUAAAUAGAUAAAUUCUUUAGGUAUUUAGAGUUUUGAUUAAUAGAUAUUGAUUUUAAAUUUUAAUUUAUUUAAAUUAAAAUAAUAUUAAAAUGUGACACGACAUGAAAUAACAAUAUUAAAUCUAAUGACUUAUAUCUAUCCAAUUUAAUCUAAUGACUUAUAUCUAUCCAAUUUAAUCUAAUGGAUAGCAUAGUGUUCACUAAAUAAAUACAUAUUUACUCUUGAAACAAAAAGAAUUAUUGUAUAGAAAAUAUUUUGUAAUUUCGAAACAAAGGCUUGUAAUUUCGGACAUCUCGUAACACUCGACGCCGACAGGUAGGAUUAUUAUAACAGCCUAGAAUGAGAUUAGGGGUGGCAAACGGGCAUGCCCGUCCCGUUUAGGCCCGCCCCGCAAAAGCCCGCAAAAAAACAGGGCGGGGCGGGGCAGGGCGGUCAUAGUUAAGGAUGUGGGCCUAAAACUUUGACCUGUCCCGCAAAAAAGUGAGGGCGGGGCGGGGAAAGCUCAUGGGCACUGCACUAUUUAAGCCUAAAAAUGCAAAAAUUUAUGUAAAUACACGUGCCCGCAAAAGCCUGCGAAAAAAACGGGGCGGGGCGGGGCGGACAAAUUUGAGGGUGAGGGCCUAAAUACUUGGUCCGCGCCGCACAAAAGUGUGGGCAAAACGGGCAUGUCCAGCGGGCCGAGCCCGUUUUGCCACCCCUAAAUGAGAUGAUGUCAAAUGUUGUUUUUGCUAAUGGAGUGGUUGAUCUGGUGGUUGAGGAUGUUGUAGAUCUAGUUGCUGUUGUUGAUGAGGUUAUUGAAGAGGCGGGUUUAGAGGAGAUUAUUCGCGACAAUAUGGUUAUGUUCAGAGUAUCCCACGACCAGUUCCAAAUAUACCAUCAAUGGGCAUUAAUUGGUGAUUUUAUAGUAACUUCAUCAGCUCCGGUCGUGUCUUUAGAGAUCACUCAGUUAGGGUUCAGCAUCCAUCGCAGUGUGAGGAUGAUUACUUAUAGUGUUAUCUCAUUGUAUCACAUCUUCACAUCAUCCCACUUACGACUGAUGUGAGGCCUUCUGGUGUUGGGGUACCUGUUGAUGAUGUGGUGUCGCCACUUCCCACAGUUAAUGUCGAUGCCCGACAAUGCCUCCAGGUGAUUGCAGUUAUUAUGGAUAACCUCAUGGGUUUGGUAAAUCCAUAUUGUAAGAUUUUAUAACGAAUUAUCUCGGACUGCAGACAUAGCCCGUGGGGGCCUAUUUAGACAUCUUUUGUAUAUCCUAGAUUUCGUAUAUUAUGUAUUAUUUGUAUACUAUUCAGACUUUUUCAUCAUAACUUUUUAUUCCACAAUAUUUUUUAUGACAUAACUUAAACAUAACUGAACUACAGAUGCAACAUCAACAUUAACGUAAACAUAACUUAAGAAACAAUUAAAUAAGAAAAAUUUAAACAUUGCCACAUGAUUAUGGACGUUUCAACAUCUCCAUUAUGUCGUCAACAGAUCUUGAAAGUCUAGCAUCUAACUCGAUCAACCCCUUUGUUAUCCUACGGAGAAAUGAUCUUCAUAUUUCCUUCACAUUUUCGUCGGUAUCAAUCCAAUCUUCACGAAACUCGAUCUUUUUCACCUUCUUAGUUUCAGUAUCAGACGAUAAUUCAUUCAAUUUGGACAUCAGAUUGGCUAGAGAUGUGUUGUCAUCCGAAAGUCGAAACUCUGUGGGAGGUGAAGCUUUGUUAAAUUACAUGUCUACCUUAAUCAGAAAUCGAGGAAGAUCCAUUUUUUAGAUGUUUCUAUCAAACAUAUGAUCCCUACUUAUACAUCUUUGCAUUUACUCUAGACCUUACAAAAUUGUUAAUGCAAUCACAGCCCUCCAAAAUUGUCGACAGAAUCCUGAACGUCCAAAUAAUUAAAAAAAAAUCCUACCAAAAAAUUUAUUUAAAUUGAAAUUUACGAUGUCCACGUGUAAAUUUUGAAUUUCCAAAAAUUAAUUAAACAAAUCAAAAAUUUUAAAAUAUCCGGUAUAUCAAAAACUUAAAAUGUAUUAUAGAAAAUUUUGAAUUGUGCCGAAAGUUUUAUUAUAACUACCAAAAAUUCCGUUCAAAAUUUUCAUUCGAAAACCUUUAUUUUCUUUUGAACAAAUGAUAAAUUCAAGCUUGGUAUUUAAAUUUGAAUUAAAAUGAAACAAUGUUAGACAUAUAAAUAAAAUGAAUAAAUUAUUUUGUUUAAAUUAAUACUUUUCAAAUAACAUACACUUUUAUUUAAUAUUAUUUUACAUAUUAUUUAAAAAAUAUUAAAAAGUAUAUGUAAAAAAUUACGGUCAAAUUCCGAUUAAAUUACAAUUUUGAUUAAUUACAGUUCUGCUCACUUAAUUUUAACUGAAUUUACGAAAUUAUUUUCUCUAUUUAAAAUUAUAAAAAAAUUGGUCUCCUCUCAAUAAAAAAUCAAUGAAAUUUUUAUUUUUUGAACUUAUAUUUUCAUCUUUAAAAUUUUACACUAUAAGUUAUCGUGUGUUAAUUGAAAUUUAUUAUUCAAAAAAUAAAAAUAUUAUUUUUCAUUUAAUAUAUCUUUUAAUAAAUAAAAUAUAAUCAAAUUGAUCCUUAUCAUCUUUCUCUUGGAUAUUGGAUAUCUCUCAUGCAUUAUCUAAUUAUUUUGAAUGAGUAUACAAAAAUAUUUUAAAUAAAAUUCAGUUAAAUAAUAUAAUAAAAUAAUAUAAACCCUAAGGUAACGUCAUUGUAUAGACAUAAGAAAUCUGAAGUAACACACAUGCUCAUAAGUGCAGCCGAAAUCAACAAAAUAAAGUCCACAUUUAUAAAUAAAUAAAUAAAGUUAAAUUGAUACCAAUUGGACAUCACCAUCAUAAAACCAAAUAUAAAAUGGUAGUAAUUGAAACUAACAUGUAUUGGAGAUCUACAGUGGAAUUUGAAUAAUUUGCUUUGUUAAGAUUAUGGAUACAAAACAAUGAAAUAAAGAUCAAUUUAGAUAUUUAUGGGAAAGGAAAAACAACAACAAUAAAGAAUCUUGCAAUAACAAAUCUUUUUAGACAAUUCUAGUAGAAGUUAAAAUAGCUUCUGUAUCUCAAUUUUUUAGAAGCUCUCAUUUAACUUCAACAACUUUUUAAGGACUUUGAAGAACCAUAAACUCUUUUUGAAUGAUAAGCUUUAGAAACUAAGAUAAAUAUGGCCUUAAACUAACAAAACAACCUAUUGUGGGAGUUGAAUAUGCAGUUUUACCUUAACUGUUGAGCAAUCAUUGACCCGAUUUAGAUUUUCCUUUAGACUUUCUUUUAAAACUAUUAUUCGGAGGUUGUUCUUGUGUUUCUUGCAGCACUUCGCGAAGCAUUUGUAACCAUAGCUUUUGAAAGUGAUUGUUAAAACCCUGUUGAAACCAAUCCAAAAUUUCUGAAUAUAAUUCUCUUGGAUUCUCCUUCCACGCCGUUCUUAACUUGGCAGAGCUAUCAAUCAACUUGCUCUCUAACUUACUCAACAGAUUUCCCACCCUUUUUUGACCAAAAGCUUCUCUCCUCAGAAUACUUUCAGGAGGGGCAGACAUGUAUUUUCGAACGGAUUUCAAACAUGGACACACCUGACCUUCGAGUAAAGCAUAGGCAAACACCUGCACCCGAAGCUCAACAUUGUUAAUGGGUAAUGAGUGCUUUGGAAGCUCCCAACAGAAGCGCCCAAAGGUUGGGAUGACCCAACAUUUUACUUGGUCAGACUGCGCAUCAUAAAAUGGUCUGGGAUCUGUCAGGGGUGGAGAGAAGGUGCACGAAGACUUGGCAUUCUCAACUAGCCAAGUUGGAUCGACGCUCGUUACUCCAUGCAUGUAUGCUCUCUUUGCACUUGUCUCCCCUUCUUUGUUUGGUCUUUUUGUCUCUAAUAGUUCAUUGUAAACCAGAAACUCAGGGCGUGCAGUAGAAACUGAUGACCAACGAUGAAUGAAAAUACUUUCAUCAACCAUGCAUGAUUGAUACCUACCAACACGAGAAAUCGUCUCUCCAUCAGUGGGCCCAUAAGAAAUUGGAAUACGUUUAGCAACCCUAUCUGCCCAGCCAGCACAUAUUGCUUGACAAAGGAGCCUUUCCUCAACCAGAGGAAGAGGAUAGUGCACAGAAGAAACUUGCCAAACACGUUCCACAUCGUCUAGAGUUCCAUGAGUCCAUGAAUACUCUUGUUCUAAACCACCUUUAUCACUCUGAUAAAAGACCAGUUUGAGUAGCUGCUGUCUAAGUUUGGACAUUUCAUCCAUGGUUUUGAAAUGCAAUGCAUUAUCUUCACAAAAUUGUACCGAAUUCUGUGAAUAUUCAAAACACUGCAAGGCAUAUGCUAUGGCUAGGGCAUCACUACUGACAAUUCGAAAUUUUUCACGAGCAGCUUUAGAGGUUUCUUUAAGUUUCUUUCUCUUUGUCUUUUCUUUUUUAUCAAUAUUGUUCUCAUUGUCUCCCACGCUAGAUUUCUUGGACAUUUCUGAACCUUCGCUGCUAUCAUUUCUUUCAUAUUGCAUUACAAAAGGAUUUGGUAAACUCAAAGCAGCAGCAGCUGCAGCAGCAUAUGCCAAAAGCAGACUUGAACUUCGAACAUGCUUGUGUCUUGUAUUUUUUAUAACAGUAAGGAUCAUUCUAGAAUGACGAGGACUCAAAGGAUAAAGUGCCAUGGCUUUUCCCAAAAGUGUAAGUUCAUCCUUACAGUCAAGUGCUUCAAGAGCUCUCAAGCAAUUCUCAGCUUCAAGCAGGGAAGAAGCCUUAAGAGAAGUAGGAAACGGGAAAUUCGCAACCUACAAAAAAGAUCAUAGAAAUGAAAAUCCAAUUUGACCAAGAAUCGAGUAAAUCAAAUUAUCAAGCAAUAGAAAGGCUCAAUAAGCAAGUAGAUCGAAUAAACACUCAGAAGUGAAAUGAAAAUAUCAAAAUUACCUUCUUAAUAUUCAUGGAUUUCAAGAGAAGGACAACACCAUGAACAGGCACUUUCUCAACUUCAGCGGGAGAGAACUCAGGAAACUCAUUAUUAAAGGCUGCAGAAGAAUAUAGGCGAUAACUAUGCCCUGCUGCAGUUCUUCCAGCUCUGCCUGCACGUUGAUCAGCAGAUGCCUUACUUAUCCAUUUCACUUCAUAUGUCUCCAUGCCAUUAGAGGAGUUGUAACUCUUUACCUUUUCCCUUCCAGUAUCAACCACAUACUUUAUCCCUGGAAUUGUUAAAGAUGUUUCUGCAACAUUUGUAGCAACAACAACAAGCCUCUCUCCCUCCUUAACUUCUUCAAAUACACGAAGUUGAGCUGCAGCAGGCAGCAUAGCAUAAAGUGGUAGAACAAAGAGUGCACCUGGAGAAGAACUCUGGUUUUCUCUAGUUAUUUUCUCCCUGCAAACUUUUGAUGCGUCUAAACCAUCUCCAGUAUUCACCGAAGCUUGCCCAGACAAGCUUUCAAAAGCAGCCUUCAAUGAAGCAAGACUUCCUUCCUUUCCCAGGACAUCCACAAUAUUACUAUUGUUUUCUGAAUCCUUGUGAUUAUUAUCAUCAUCAUCAUUGAAUUCCAACUCACUCUCCGUUUCUGAAUCAUAAGAAUCAGAUUCGUUCGCAUCAAAAUUAUUGUCAUCUUCAUCAUAACUACUAAACCUAUCAGUUUGCUGGAUGGAUGAACUUCCAGACACCUCAAAUGCUUCAUUAAUCUCAUUAAUAUUUAUUCCCUCAAUAGAACUUGUUUCAUGGACCACAGUGCCAUCAUUUUCCACAGGUCCUUUAACUUUUUUCAUGAUAAACUCCUUUGAAGCUUUGCGUAGCUUCCUGCACAAGUCCUCUACUUCCCUUUGUCCAGUGACAAAGACAAGUAUUCCCCCAGAUGGCAGCCUCUUGUGAAUUGCCAGGAUCUUCUUAUACGCUGCACCAAUAUAAUCUGUUAUCUCGGUUUUUUUUGCAAAAUACUUGGUAACUGGAAACUGCCUUGUAGGAACUUCUAUCACAGGUGGGGGAGUGUAGAAUAAUUUUCCAGAAGUAAAGUCUUGUACACGCAAGGUGGCACUCAUCAGCACAAGUUUUAAUGGAAAAACCAUUUUUUCAGGACUUAUACUUUCUCCCGAAAGGAUCAUCUUCUGCUGGUCAUUAUAAAUCUGUCAUAAAUAGCAAGGUAAUGAGCAUGCAGAUUAUAAUGCCGGUGGCAUAAAUAAUAUAUGUAAGGAAAUUAUAUAAUAAGAUAUUACAAAUUUUCAUUGCAUUGGUAAAAUAAACCACUAUAAUUUACCUUUUGGCGAGUUCUAAUUACACGCGAGAGCAUCCCAAUCAGAAUGUCUGUGUUCAAGCUCCUCUCAUGAGCCUCAUCAAGAAUUAGGACGGAAUAACGCCUCAAUAAAAUAUCAUUCUGCGCCAGAAGGUAUUCAGUUAAACAACAAAAGUACAUAUGAUUCUGUAACUCAACAUGUUUUAGAGUAACUAAGGUAAGUAAGAAUGAUUGCAUCAGAGCAUCAUAUCCUAAUAUAGUGUAGAAUCAUCAAUAUCAUCACAAAUUAAUAAACAAUAGCAAAACUCCACAAUAGUAGCAAUGAUACUAGCAACUAUUAUGAGUGAUAAGCAUCAACAUAAGAAAGACGAAAAUCGUAAUCAGUCCAUUGUCAGUUUCCAAACUAAUGUGAUAUGAAAUAUACAGAAUCAUAAAAUGCAUGUUUAUAUAGAGAUGAUAAUAUUAUCAAGUAUUUUGCCUAAAAAAUACAUGUUCCUAAGUAGAUGAUUUUCCUGGAAUGAUGGACUAAGAUGUUCUAAAAUGAAUAAUAAAUUCAAAGAUUCUUUCCUGCAAUAAGUUUAUGUAACUUACACGGAUCCUAAAUACAAACAAAUGUUUCUAACUUUCCCAAAAACUGAACAAAGGUUUCUCCCUAUUUAUCAUUUGUGACAAGCCUACUCCGUAAAAUGAAGGAAUGGGAAACAUGAGGUAAAAUAUAACUACCUGAACUUCUCGUAGCAAAAUGCCAUCAGUCAUAAACUUGAUAGAGCAAUUUUCUCCAAUUCUCUUGUCAUACCUAACUUGAAAGCCAACCUCCUUUCCUAGACGAACACCAAGCUCAUACGCCACACGCCUUGCUGUGGCAAGAACAGCCACCCGACGUGGUUGAGUGACACCAAUAACACCACUGCGGGCGUGGAACUUGCUUGAACCAUAUCCAGCUUCAUAAAGAAACUGAUAAAUUUUGAAUUAAUGAUAAAUUUAUCACUCUUAAUCAAAAGUAAGUUAUAGUUUUGAAUGAUAGACGAUACCAUCAUACCAUACUCCAGUAAAUAUAUACUAACCUGGGGAACCUGAGUUGUUUUACCACAUCCAGUUUCUCCACAUAUGAUGACACUGGAAUUGUAAUUUAUAGCUUCCAUUAUCUCUUGUUCCAUCAUUACUAUAGGAAGAUCCUUUCUUUUCUCUUCAACCUCUGAUGGCCUGUAUACAUGGACAACAGUAGGAGUAGUCAAAAGCCUCUGUGAAACAAUUGGAAGGUUGCUCAAUUCGCUGAAAUUGGCGGCAGGGUUUUCAUCUGUCUUGUCCUGUAUCAGGUAGAAAGUGCAAAACAAAAGCAUUAAAGUAACUAGCAGAUACUCAAUAAGGUGAUAUCUUAACAAACAAUUAAUAAAAGCAUAACCUAUUAAUUAACCAUUAUAGAAAUUAUAGGCACACUACAGUGCAUAUACAAAACGACUUCUUCCAAAUUAAGAUAGUACUAUAUGAGGAAAAAAAAGGAUAUUUUAAUAUACACAAAAAAAGAAGAAGAUAAACAUAUAUGAAAACUAAAGCUUAUUACUUCACAAGUGUCAUGUAUUCAAUGUUCCAAAUGAAACAGAUGUGUUGUAUCUUGUAUCUUGAUCACACAGAAACCUAUAAUAGAGAAGGGAUUAUACCUUUGACUUUGUGCUUUUUAUCUCGGUAAUAGAACGAGAAAUGGGAGAAGAACUUCUGAUUUCAUCAGGUUGCUUGUCAGUGGAAAUGUCAGAUUCAUAAUUUACAACUUCAUUUCCAUGAACUGGUUCUUGAGAGGACUCCAGGGGAGCGGAUGUUGUAUACAAGAUUUCUCCUUCAGUUCUAAAAGGUUGUAUGAAGUCAUUUUCUUUAGAUUCCUGCACCAAAUGAUUCUCUUCGUCUUCUGACUCAGGUUCAGUUAUACAUGGAAAAUCCUGUUUCUUGGACAGGUUAUUAUCAUGUGGAAUCUCCAAUCCUUCUUUUAAUAAAUGUACUGCUCUCCUGCGCUUUUCCUUCACAGUCUCCUCCUACAAUUUAUGAUGGCAACAGUCAACAGGCAAUCACAAUAUUCUCAUAAAAGUAUCAUUGUUUCUGAAAAUACAAAUACAUACCCGGUUGAUAUUGCAUGAUGACUGCAAAAGAGGAAACGCGUACUCAGGAAGCAUGUUGUUACUGAAACAAGAAUUUGAAAAGUUCCAUAUUUUGAUUAACAACUCAGCGCUUAGCAUUGAAGCAGAAACUGUAACAAGCUAGUAAUUAAUUAACUUACUUUAAUGUCUUAAUGGCUUUUUCCAUCAAAAGUUGUUUACCCUUGUCAUCCUACACAAAUGAAAGGAGCCAAACAAAUUGAGACACAAAACAAAAUAAAAGAGAACUAAAAGCAUUCCCUUUUCUCCACCCCACAAACCUCUGACUUCUUCAGCUUCCUUUUCUGAGUUUUGCUCAAUCUCUGCUUCUUACUUGAAUGGACUUUGCCGCGCUCCUAAUACAACAGAAUUUCGAUCAAACAAAGUGUGUAAACAUGCAACUUGAAGGAACACAUAAUCAUGUUCAAACUAUCCCUACCUGUUCCAUCCCUUUCUUUUUCUUCUUCUUACUUGGCAAAAUUAGUACAUUACUAUCAUCACCUCCAUCUUUCCUUUUCUUCGUCUUCUUAGUCGGCAAAAUUUGUGCAUUAUUAUCACCACCUCCAGAACUACCUCAAAAAAGAAAGAAACUAUAAGAAUAAUUUAUAUCAUUAACCAAACAUUGAUUCACUCUUCUUUUCUUUUUAAGCAUAAAAAAAGUCCUCCGUGUGCAUCAAAUCAGUGUUGUCAAUCGCAGAAAACAGUUGUUUGUUCAAAUUCAGCUACCAACUAACUGCUUAUACCCACUAUGUAACAACACUUUGUACUAAAUAGCAUAUUGUUAAACAAUUGCAAUUUAUUCAAAUUCCAUUACGCUAUAGCACAAGUAUUUAACAACAUUGCAUCAAAUCAUAUCUCCCUACUAUCUGAUGUCCAUGCUCAGCUAUCAACUGCAUUGGCUUAACUAUCUCACUACUAUACAUCACUUUGUUACAUUAAUUCCUAAAAUAUCACCACAAAAUAAUUAUGUAAUGAUGAGUGAGUGCAUGCCAAUGAAACUCUUAUAAAUAAAAGAGGUAAUUUACCUUUGAGAAUUGAACUCGGCAUGGUUUCCGAGAUUUUCCAAAGUUUCCAUUUUGAUGUCCUUAGAAGCCAAUGCUAAAAACAUAAAAUUGAAACAAAACAAUGAGAAGGAACACUCACUUUGAGCCCUAAUUUGUACGACGGCAUUUAACAUAAUCAGUGAAACAUCAACAGAUAAAGGAGAUAGCGAGGUGAAGAGAAAGGGAACGGACCUGAGUGACGGCGGUCCGAAAGUGAGUCCGAAAGUGAGUCCGAGAGGCGCGGGACGGUUGAUGGUGGCGGAGGUUUCAGCGGUGGAGGGCCGGAGAAGCAGUGAAGAUGGCGGUGCAGGCGCGCUAUGGUCUGCCUCAGUUCCAAAACUUCAGUCAUAGAAGGUUAUAUGCAAAAUACCAUUUUAUUAUAUACGGAUUAACAAAAAUACCCUUAGGUUUAGACCUAAUAAUUAUUUUAUAAAUAUAAUUAAUUUGUUAUAAAAAUAAGGGUAACGUUAAUUUGUGCCCUAAGGGCAUAAGUUAAGAGAUGAAUAUAGAAAUAAAUUCUUGAAAAAUAUGAAUUGAAUUUAUUAAAAAUUUAUCAUUAAAAAUUUUAUUUAUUUUUCCAAAACAAAUUUUCUAUUUGUGGGUUUCUUAACAUGUGUCAUUGGGGUACAAGUUAGCAUUACCCUUAAUUUAAUUAGUAUCUAGAAGGAAGGUAAGUAACUUAGGAAAAAUGUCAGGUUAUUACAUCCCCCUUGAAUUAAAUGUCCUCGAAUUUCAACUAAACAAGAGGUCAUAAUACUCUUUCCCUUGCCUCUUUUGGCUAAUACGUGCCUCCUCGAAUCCUUUUGAUCCAUUGGUUCUUCUUUUCUUAAUGUCUUUUUAGUUUUUUACUCUUCUACAAUUCUAUCUCUUCCAAUAUGCCACUCUGGUACGCUUGGUUACGGAUUCUCCUAGGGUUCGAAACCCUCCCUUCCUUACACUAAGUAUACAAAGCUUCAUAAGUUAUUGCACUCUACUUAAUUGGAUAUUUUUCAUCCUUCAAUCUCUCUGUCUUAAAUUCAAAUCGUGCAUCCAAAGCUUCUGAAUUUCCAUUCUCUUCGAGUCUUGGUUGGAGACAAAAUUAGGUUGAACACCGCAUAACUAAAUGAUCUUUGUUACCGAUAAUCCCGCUAGAUUGAUAACUCCAAACGGGUCUUUGUCGGGUAAGGAAAGGUAUGAUCAUGAUUUUAAAUUGCGGUCGUGGAUGCGGUUGCGUGUGUUGUGGUUGCUGUGAUACGUAUUGUAGCCAUUGUGGCGUGAAUUUUGAUUGAAAGAUAUAUGAAAUUGAAAAAUUCUUGAUGUUAAUCUUUUAUGUAAAUUGAGAUUUUUGGUUCUCAAACUUUGAGUUACGAUGAAAAUAUGUGAAGAAAUAUUGGUGAAGUUGUUUGAUACGAAUUCUAACGUGGUUGGAUGAAUGAUUUUAAAUCACACCGCAAUUGCGGCCUGAUGCGGAUGCGGAGACUACCGCAUCAACAAUAUUGAGGCCGCAAUUGCAGUUGCGGAUCGCAAUUUAAAACCAUGGGUAUGAUUUUGCUUAACUUAUCCACAACCACCCAAAUCAAAACAUGAUUGUUGUGCGCAAAAGGUAAAGUCACAACGGAGAUUCACCGAGAUAAAUGUCUUACUUCCAUCUAGCCUCUUCAAUGGUUAUAACAAUUCACCUUAAAUAUCGCUUCUCUAAAAACCAUUGGAUGACACAAUAAACAUUUAACCAUAUACAACCCGCAAAGUUCUUCUCAUACCAGGUCGCCAACAAUUCUUCUUCAGACUUUGGUGGGUCUUUGAAGAACCAGAGGGAAAAGAACUUUGCUUUUGUGAGCUUCUCUCAGAAGAUACUUUAACUUGAAGUCACAAUCUUGUGAAUACUCCAUCUGUUGAACCAGCUCAAGAUACAGUCUAUUUAAUCUGAUAUCGUUCACUAAUCUAAACGGAAUAGCCAUGUGUCAAGCUAGUAAAGAUAUGACAAUCCCAUACAACCCCAUCUUGAAAUUUACGCACAAAGAUCCGUUAAUAUCCUGACGAACAAAAGGACGUCCCCAAUUGCAUAACUUCAUAGUUACUCACACAACUAUAACCACCCAUGGUCUUCCUAUAAACAUAGUAUCGGCAUUUGGUUUAUCCCACUGCCACAUACACAUGAGUUAUGACAUGCAUGGUCCCUCUACAUUUAGAAAGAUCCGGAAGUGAAGGUACUUCCCCUGUAGCUCGUAGGUCAUGGACUUCACGGGUAGUUCUCAGAUGUCGAGUGUGACGUGCAGAUUAUUGAUUGUUCUAUUCUAUCUCAUAGGAACUCUAGUCCACAUCUCAUGAGCAUAUAACCGGACAUUGGGACUGGGAUCAUUAUGAUCCUACACUUGAGUGAAAAGGAUAACUCACAUAUCGCAUGCACAAUAGUGGUAUUGUGGCACCAUACUUGUAUGACAACACUAACAUGGAGGUUUAACUUUGAGGCCAUGUACUCAGUGAACUGCCCAACGUUGUACGACGAUCUCUACACGUACCGUAUCAUUACGAUAGUCAGAUAACUGAAUAGGUCUCCUUUUAGGCCAUGCCUCUCUAGUCCUUCCAGUCCCAAUCUUGAGGAAUACCAAAAUUCAAAAGUCCCACACUCUAGGGUUCACCCAUUCGGGAGACGAUCGAGUAAGGUUUGGCUUUAUGAUACUAGCUUACAACGUUAUGCUAUGUAUGUGAUCAUUCACACAGUACAUGCAUACGGGAUAUCCAAGGGCUAUCAAAAAAUUGUGCAUACUAUGGUUUAAGUUUUGACAUUAGGGUCCACAACCAUCAUGCUAAUGGUAUAAAAUAGCCACUAGUCUUUAUCCAUCUAAUCGUCCAACACCUAGCGUGAUUCUACGGUCUUAUUCAGAAUUACAUGAAUCAUAACUAGCUUGGAAUAUGAUCUCCUUCGGUCAGUACUCAAUUUCUGAUACUCCAUGAGUAAGUGUAGCAUUCAAGAUGAUUGGCAAGCUAUUAAACUUCCACUCACCAAGUUUAGUAUAAAGGGUCUUUGAUUCCACUAACAUUGGGUAAGACUCGUGUCAGUUUAUGGUCAUACCUAGUGUAGGAGUCACAACAUUUAGUAACGUUUUCAACCUUUUACAAGGUCGUCUUCAUCAAAUAUGAUAUAAUUGAAUAGAGUUAGAAACUAACUCUUCGUCCUUUCAAGCACGUAACACCCACCCGAUCAAUCAGAAAAAUCUUGGUCCUCUGCCUCAAACACAUGAUAGUUUUUCAUUCGUCCAACAGGUCUUUCAUUUAUCGCUCGUAAUUGGUAAUGACCAUUGGAUAAGGAAUUAUAACUGAUUCAAAGCCCAAUCUUUUCACGAAAUUCCCUCGUUGGAUUUUCUUGUAGGUGCCUUUUGGAUUCUCCACUUAGGAGAAAUCAUCACCAUGUGACUUGUUUCUCGAAAUAGAACCCUUUGACCAUCAAGCCUUGCACCUCAAUGUGUUCUUCUUUCCAAUUGAUUCAUUUGCUAGACAGACCAUCUGAAAGAUUCACUUCCUUCUAAUAGAAAUUCUUGAAUGUUUCUUGUUCCUUGGCUCUUGUACUGGGGUCUGAGGUCGUCUACCACUUUGUGUCUGAUGCACCAUUCAUGCCUGAAAAUUCUCAACAUUCCCUUAAUCAACCAGCUUCUACUACUUGAGUUUGAGUCACCUUCGAUCUUAUGCAUCCUCGCAACGGCUAUGUCGUGAUCUCGCCUAUCAUGUAUAAAGUUAAUGAGUUGAUGAGGCUCAACGACUGAAUAUUAUGAUAGUAGAAAUGAGACUAGCAACACACACUUAUGAGGAACAAGAGAGUUGCUAGUGAUGUCUCAUUGUUGGGUCGGGAAUCGACUUGCUAUGAUAUCAACUUUAACAACCUAGAUAAUAUGUGUCUAGAAUUAUACUAUAUGGAAUAUUAAACCGGUAUUGAGUACAAUCAAAAGCGUUUAAAUGACAUCUAAUACAUGUAAUAAAAAAGUACAAGACAAUCAAAAUACAUGACAGAAACAUUUAAUACAAUAAAAUACUACAUAUAGGUAAUAACAUAGUGGAAAAAUGUAAAUAGCUUAUGCCUCCAAGUCUUUGAGACAUCGCGCCUUUAUUUUCUUUCCGAGAUGAGCUACCUGAAAUAUUAAUAUAGGGUGAGAUACAACUUAUCCCAGUCAAGUUCUCAUAUCUUAGAAGUCCUUUCACCCAUAAGGUGUCCUAAUAGUCAUUUGUGACUCUAGUGAAUUAUUCCUUACAGGAUUUCAACAAUCCAUGGGUACUAGGACAAGCUCCGUGCAUGAGGGAGUACUUUGCCAAUUACCACUUAUUUAAGACCAUUUUUAUACCAUAGAAGUAGCUGAAACUAGGGAUACCAUGAAUGGGAUAAGUGGGUAAUCUUCCAUGAUCAGUCAGGGUUAGUCAUUAUUCAUUAUCCUUGUUCAUUAUACCCAAAAUAAUUCAUCAUCAAGUCUCUAUUAAAGCCUAUGCUUCCUUAGAUUAUUUUCUCAUACACAAAACAUGGUUCUCCAAUGAUUGGUAUAACAUUAGUCAUUAGUAGUUAGUCCUAAUCAUUAAUUCUUGAUUACAACUUAUUUAAGGUUGAGGCGUACCCUAGAAGCAACUGAAACUAGGAUACACGUGAGGUUAAGCGAGUAACCCUUCAUUAUUGUCGAGGUCAUGGUCAUUAGUCACUGAUUUCCACUUAUUCAAGGUCGAGGUGUACCCUAUAAGCAGAUGAAAUUAGGGUACCUAUGAGUAUAAGUAGGAAAUUUAUCAUUAUUCAUGGAUCCUUUCGGUAGUAUCAGGGUACCAAUCAUUAGAAGAAUGUCACAUAGGUCUAGUGCUUGAGGCGUCGGGUCACCAUAUGCAUUAGCCAGUCAUCAUGAACAAUCAUACAUUCAAUGAUUUACAAUUACUCCAGCAUGUGAUAACUCCCUAAAUGAGCUUUCCAAAGCACUUGAUCGCGUCUCAUUCUGAGUUACGGAACUUAAGAUACGCUAAAAUAUGUGUUGCUAAGAUUUAUGCACUAAAAGUCUCGUUAUGUGAGGUCAAAACGAGCUCUCUCUUAGCCAACCAUCUGUGGCUAAGCGAAAAAACCAUAAAUCCUAGUUUUCCCAUCCUUGAAGCCUCACUAAGCGAGCCCCUCGUGGCUAAGCAAGAAAAUCAGUCCAUAAUGUGUUUUUACCUCUUAAACCCAUAAUUUUCAUGCUCAUACAUACUCUAAACCUACCCAAAUACACAAUAAACAUAGGAUAUCAAAACACACAUGUAUAACACAAAUUUUACAAGAAAACACAAAUAUAUAACAUGCAAUUCUCGAAUCAUACUCCAACCCUAAUUCCCCCACCAUGCAAGUCCAUUCCUAAGGGAUUCUACCCAACUAGCUAAAGAACCCAACCUUGCUUAAAAGGAACGUGAAUUGAGAAAGGAUGUGGUGAAGAUUGUAACACCUUGAAUUCAAUUAAUUAAUUUACUUUAAUUUCCUUUGCUUUUAUUUAAUUAUUUGGGUGAUUUAAUACACUUUUAAUUAUUUGCUUUAGUGAUAGAAUGUGUUAUGUGAUUAUUUGACAUUUAUUGGGGUUUGGUAGAAUUUAAUAGAGUUUUAUUUCAUUAAAAUAAUAUAAUAAUAAUAAAAUAAGAGAAAUUGUGAGAUUUGGGUAGAAAUUAGAAUUUUGGUAAAGUAUGAGUACUAAGGAGAGGAGAGUACACAAGAGUUGGGGGGAUAAAAGUGUGAAAAGGGAAAUUAAUUAUAUUUUUAAGUUAAAAUAAAUAGUAAAGGGAGAGGAGCCAAAAUUUGUCAAUAUGUAGAUUUGAUAAAGAAGGCAAGUGUGAGUGAAGGAGAACAAGGGCUUAAGGGAUAAGAAGAACACCAUAGCCAAACUGUUUUGUUGCUGGAAAUUCAUGUAAUGGGGGACUACUUUAAUAUAGGUGUUAUUGUAUGAAGGAUAGAGAGUGCUCCUCACCCUUCUUUAGGUUUUUCUCCAUUGUUGUGUUUCAUGAGUUUUGAUGAUGAUUGUACAAAAUCCAUGUUAAUUGACAUGUUUAAUGAUGUCUUCAUAAGAAAUGAGGUAUUCAAGUAGAAAAGAGAUUCCAGAGUCUAACAAGGGGCAGCCACUCGUAGUGCCAAUUUACUAUCAACAACCUCUAUUUGUUCCUCCUCCAAUUCAUAAUCAAAAUUACAAUCAUAAUCGAACAAUUCCCCUAAGGCCAUCUCAAUUUGAUCCGAUUCUAAUGGCAUACACUAAAUUUCUUCCUCAUUUUAUUCAAAGAGCUUUAGUAUUCCCCAUGAAGCUUAAUCCAUUAGUGACGUACCCAUCUAACUUCAAACACAAUGCUAUAUGUGAGUACCAUGAUGGAUCGUCAGGGCAUACCACUAAAAACUGCAAGGCCUUCAAGUAUGUGGUACAAGAGCUGAUUGAUCAAAAGAUGUUGUCAUUUUUAGAUGUAGUGAACAAAACUACGUCAUUGAGCUACAAUAUCACCACCCACACAAGUGGAAACACAAAAGAAGCAGGGAAUGGAUCCGAAGAGGCUGCGUCUUGUGAAGAAUCUGAGAGAGAAGACUCAAAGGAUUGUCACAUUGGUUCUGAAAAGCAUGAUGACCUCAACCCGUGGGUCGGGAAAGGUCGGUAAUUAAUGAAUAAAGAAAAGAGAGUUCAUCCUUAACUGGAAAUCAUCUGGCUAUUUCCGUUUUCAUUUUGCAUUUCCCUUGCAUGUUGAAUGUUUAUUUUUCUUUUAAGUAUUGUUAUUUUCUUUCAAUGGUAAUAUUAAUGAAGUGACCAUGCAUUUUAUGAAUCAAUCAUGUCAUAUUCACUCAUCCAGUAGAGUCGCCAGCUGUCGCGGUGCGAAAAUUCCCAAGCGUAAGGGACACUCAAAAUAUAAACAAAACAGAGUCCCCACCAAAGUUUAUUUAUUCCCGAAGAGGGAAAGGGGAAAUAUCGAUAAAACCCACAAAAAAUUAAAAAAAAUGGUCGUUGCAACCAAAUCGGGUUCGAGAGUCAAUUAUGUAAGGGAAAUGUAUUAUCACCCCUCAUAUUUAUUGUACUCAACGAAACUCAUUUAGUUAGUUUCGUGUAAGAGUGUUAGCGUGAUAUUAUUUAUGAUAUUCUACUUAUCGAGUGAGAAAAGAGAAAGAAAGGAAAGGAAAGACUUAUGGGUUUCUUAAUGUUAAUGUGCCUCACAAGAUUUCGCAAUCCUGCUCCUACGUAUCUUCAGGUGCUAUGAAGAACUCAAGGCUACGUAGUUCUGCUAAAAGAGAACUACUGGAUUGAUUGCUUUUAGAGAGUGAUGCUUAGAUCAUAUUUGAGCGAUUAAACCUUUACUUGUUGCUCGCUCUUGAAGGCUGAAGUUUUUGUUUCACAUCGAAAUGGAUGUAGCAUGAAAAUGUUUUCAGGGUUAGACAAAGGCGGAAAACAAGUUUGAGUUGAUUUUAAGCGGAGACAGACAUCCAAGCAGGGAGCUCUACUGCAGUACUCAAAUGCCCGAAAAGGAAGAGACUUAAGCCCAAUCAUUCUCUUUUCAUCAAAAAAUUUAUUUAUGAAAAUGUGUGGUGAAUUAAGUCAAAGUUUAUUAAUGAAAGACAAUUAUUCAGAUAAGGAGUUCUACUGAGUGCCCAAAUAAUCGGGAAAAAGAAGGUUGAUACCCAAUCAAUUUUUUUUCUUUCAUAGAAAUGACUUAAUUCACAUCAUUAUUGUAUUUUAAUAUGGAAGACGAAUGUUCAAACGUGGAGCUAUACAACAGUAUCCUAACAUUUUAAAAGCUUAAUCAGUUUCUAAUCAGUUUCUUCCAUUUUAUUGUAAAAGCUUUUAAAAACAGGGGGGCGACUUGACGUUGAAUCAAGUGUCUGAAGCUGAUUUAUGAAAAUAAUUUGGAUGUGGCAGGGGCUUCUCGACUUUGUAUUCAAUUUGGGAAAAAGGACUCGAUGUUUGAUUGAGUGUUUGCUUUUUCGUUCUUUUCUAAAAAGAGUUGAUUUUAAUCUUUGAAUUAACAAUCAACUAACAAUAAAAAAUAAGUAAAAACGGUAAACUUAUUACACAAAUUACGGGAAUUGGGGUACAAUUUAUUGAUUUUAAUCUUCAAUACUAAUUUUCACGUCAUGAUACAUAUUCAGGAUCUUUUAGUUGAGAAAACAAUUUCACAAACUUCUAGUUCUGAAUAGACAAUAAAUAUAUGCAUUGUCUUUUAGUUGAUGCAACAACUAAAAGUGAAUUGAAUAUCCAAUGUAUAACAAACUAAUAUAUCUGUUUAUAUAUAUAUAUAAGAGACAACUCAUUUUUUAAAUUCAUUGAAUAAUGUAUUUGAUCCGUUUAUAGACUAGAUAAAUUAACUAUUCAAUGAAUCUAAAAAAUAAUAAAUUAUUCAAGAAUUAUAUAAAAUUGUUAUUUUUUGUUAUCCUUCUAAAAUACUUAAUUUUUCAAAAACUAUAUAAUAAUUUUCUUUUUUUUUUAUAUCCUUUAGGAUGUUUGAUAAAUUUAUCAUGAAUUAUAAAAUAUAUACAUUAUUGUAUGGGUAAUGCUAAGGGCAUAAGAUAAGAAUUAAAGAAAGUAAUAUUGUAUUGAAAAUUAUGCAUUAAUUUUAAUAAAAAGAUAAAAUUAAUUUUUUAAUUGUUUUUUCCAAUAUAAAUUUUUUAUAAGUAGUUUUCUUAUCUUGUGUCCAGGGAUACAAAUUAGCAUCAUCCUUAUUUUAUAAUCGUGAGUUUAAUUGAAAUACGUCGAUAAUAUAAAAGGAUUUUACACCGUCAGUUAAUUAUAGACGUCGGAUAUUAAAAGAAGUUUGACUUUUAUUUUAAAAAUUUAUAAAGUAAUACAAACGGAUGAUGGUGAUGAAUCGACGAUGUAAAACUUUUUACACUGACAGUGUAUAGUAAUUAAUCUUUAUAAUCAUUCAUGAAUAUUUAAUUAUUCAAUAAUAUAUAAUAUAAUCUCAUAAUUUAAUGAGAGAUGUAAAAAAUAAAAUAAAACAAAGAAUCAAUAUUACAAUAAUAUAAUAAAAGAGUAGAAAAAAAUGACAGAAAGCAAUUAAAAUUAUUAAUAUGAGCCACGACAUUUAUAACAAAUAAAAAAUCAAUAUGAAAUUUUCUAAUGCUAACUUGUGCCCCAAGGACACAUGUUAAGAAACCCACAAAUAGAAAAUUUGUUUUGGAAAAAUAAAUAAAAUUAUUAAUAAUAAAUUUCUAAUAAAUUCAAUUCACAUUUUUUAAGAAUUUAUUUCUAUAUUCAUCUCUUAACUUGUGUCCCUAACUUGUGUCCUUGGGGCACAAGUUAUGAUUAGCAAUAUUAUAUAUUAUGGAAGAUUAUAAGAGUAAACCUGACUACUAGUGGAUGGGGAAUUUGAGGUAACGAAGGAAUUCAAAUGAAGGGGUAAAAUGGUAAUUAUAUCAAUUUUGUAUAUAACUCAAAUGGACUCGUGGAAUCCUCAUAUUUUCCAAUCCCCUCUCACUCAAAAUUAAAAACAAGAACAACUUUAGAGAGAUAGAGAGAAGAUGAUAGGGCGAGCAAUGAAGAGGGAAAAAGAGGUUGGAGUAGAAUUAACUCGCAUGUCCAAUUGGUAUGAAUUCUUGAUAGAGUGAAGAGGAAAUCUUGAAGAAGUUGCAAUGCUGAUUGGAUUAAGGAAGCAUCAUCAUCUCCUCGUCACACUCAAUAGGAUACGAAUUCAGAAUUAAGAAGGAAGAAGAUUGAAUCAAACUUGGAGAAAUCUCAAUUUGCAUACGAAGAGCUCUUGGAAGAAGGAGCAUUGAAUAUUGCUAUCAUCAUUAAUCAUCUUCACCACCUCCUUUCUCAAUUCAUGUUCUUUUUAAGCAAGGCGGGGUUCUUUAGCUAGGUGUUUAUAAUCCCUUAGGAAUGGAAUUGCAUGAUGGGGCAAUUGGGAAUUGGAGUGUGAUUCUUGAAUCACAUGUUAUAUAUUUGUGUUUGACUGUAAAAAUUUGUGCUAUACAUGUUUGUAUUGAUAUCCUAUGUUUGUUGUGUAUUUAGGUAGGUUUAGAAUAGUAUAAAAAUGUAAAUUUUGGACUUAAGAGUUAAAAACACAUUAUGGACUGGUUUUCUCGUUUAGCCACGAGGGGCUCGCUUAGUAAGACUUCAAGGAUGAAAAAAACAGGGGUCUCUGACUUUCUCGCUUAGCCAUGAAUGGCUGACUAAGUGAGAGCUCACUUUGACCUCACCUAGCGAGACUUUUGAUGUAUAAUAUUUAGCAGCACUGACUUUAACGUAUCUUGAAUUUCGUAAUUCGGAAUGAAACGCGAUCAAAUGGUGGAGUAAUUGUAAUCCAUCGAACAUAUAUUUAUUUAUGAUGACUGACCAAUGUAUAUGGUGAUCCGACGCCUCAAGGACUAGACCCGUGUGACUUUCUUCUAAUGAUUGGUACCCUAAUACUACCGAAAGGAUCCAUGAAUAAUGACCAAUUUCCCAUUUAGCCUCACUGGUACCCUAGUUUUAGCUGCUUAUAGGGUACACCUCCACCUUGAAUAAGUGGAAGUCGGUGGCUAAUGAUCAUGACCUUAACAAUAAUGACGAAUUACUCACUUGACCUCACAUGUAUCCUAGUUUAAGUUGCUUCUAGGUAUGCAUUAACCUUAAAUAAGUGGUAAUAAAUAAUUAAUGAUGAGGACUGAUUACUAAUGACUAAUGUUAUACCAAUCAUUGGAGAACCAUGUUUUGUGUAUGAGAAAAUAAUGUAAGGAACCAUAAGCUUUAAUAGAGAUUUGAUGCUAAAUUAUUCUGAGUAUAGUGUGCAAGGAUAAUGAAUAAUGACUAACCCUUGCUGAUCACUGUGGAUUACUCACUUAGCCCAUUCAUGAUAUCCAUAGUUUCCGCUGCUUCUAUGGUAUAAAACUGGCCUUAAAUAAGUGGUAAUUGAUAAAAUACUCCCUCAUGCACGGGACUUGUCCAGAUACCCAUGGAUUGUUGAAAUACCGUAAGGAAUAAUUCACAAAUGACUAUUAGGACACCUUAUAAUCGAGAGGACUUCUAAGAUAAGAGAACUCCAAUGAAAUAAAUUGUACCUCACCCAUUAAUAUUUCAGGUAGCUCAUUUGAAAAAGAAAAUAAAGGUCCGAUAUCUCGAAGACGUGUAAGGUAGAAAUUAUUUACGUUUUUCCGCCGUGUUAUUACCUAUCUGUAAUAUUUUAUUGUAUCAAAUGUUUAUGUCAUGUAUUUGUACUGCCUUAUACUUGUUUAUUACAUGCGUUAGAAUGUUAUUUAGACACUUUUAAUUGUAUUCAGUAUAGUUUAACAUUCCAGAUAAUAUAUUUCUAGCAAACGUAUUAUUUGAGUUGUUACACUAGGCCUCUAAGCCAUGGCAUGAGAAGAUUUAAAAUUCAGUGUUGAAUUUAAGUGAGGUGAAAAUAAUUCUAUUAACACGAAUAAAAAUCCUGGUUAAAAAAACGGUAUUUGUCAUUCUAAUUUUAAAGUAAAUAAAUGAUAUAACCAUAAACGCACACAUUCUUAGAAUUUGUGACGUUAAUUUAAACAAAUUGUAAUUUCCUCUCAACAAAACAAAAAAAUAAAAAUAAAAUCAGACUUUACUUUAGUUGAUGUAUAUUUGGCAAAGUGUAACUUUGCAUUUAAAAAGGGAGAAUAAGGAAUACGUAAGUACAAAAACUAUAAUUUAUUAUCUUUCUUUCCGCUGAAUUUGACACGAAAAAUAUAUUAUCAUAACAGUUAUACAAAUGUCCAUCAUACAUGACAAAAUCUGUGUAACCAAAAUUGAAAGGGCCCUGUAUUCAUCCCUUGUUAAGGGAGCAUAAACUUUCUAUGUCUAAAGAAUUAAGGGUGGUGAGUGAGUAAUAAUCGAUACAGAAGUAUAUAGCCAACCUUUUGGCAAUUAGCAGUAUUAAGAAACACUUCAUAUUCCAAGGCCGUCUGGCGUGACAGUAGCUCUACUGUCGCAUAAUAACUUCAAUUUCUGCACAUUACACCACAUUAGGAGAAUCAAUUGUGCUAUAUAUAAGUUUCUGUUAAUAAAUAUGUCUUCUGAUAAAAGACCUUUGACUUCAAACAACUUGGAAGAUGUUAAUUCAUAAAAGACCUUUGACUUCAAACAACUUGGAAGAUGUUAAUUCAUAAAAGACCUUUGACUUCAAACAACUUGGAAGAUGUUAAUUCAUAAAAGACCUAUGACUUCAUUAAUCGAAAAGAAAGAAGCCUUCAAUAGCAUAGAACAGCUUAGAAGAUGAUCAACUAAUAUAAUCAUGACAUUGCUCAUAUAAAAGUCUGCAUUAUGAGAGCUCUGUAUUAUUCCUGGGGAGGAAAUUGCAAAAAGUGAUGGAGUUAUUACCGUAAGAUAUUGCGAAGGAUCAUCCAUGGAGGUAGUGCCUAGGAUUACUUCUCUUCUCAGUUUUGUUGUCAUUUUGUGACAAACACGUAGCUGAAAACAACACAAUAAUCACAAGAUGGGAUUACAAUUGCAAAAUCCAGGAUAUGGUUGCAGAAGUUUUUUAUCAUAUUUACCUCAGAUCGAGUAGCCCCGCCAAUAAUAAACACAAAGAUUCUCUUUCCCAUCUUCUUGAAAUCAGCAGCUACGUUCUUUAACGUGGAGUCACUGGAAUAUUGAAAAAGCUAUCUGUUCAGGCUAAAAUUGUAUCCAUUUGAAUGCAGAUUUCAUUUCCUUUAAAGAGACAUUUAUGUUUAGGUAAUAGUUCAUGUCACCUUGAAUAUCCAUCGUCAGAAGUACGUGACUUAGCCCAGUUGGCUGUCCGCCUAGAUCUCAUUGAAUGAGGAGGGGCUGUUGGAGCUGGAGCUAUCUGAGUGCUCUUGCUAUUUCGAGCAGAGUUUCCUUUGGGAACGGGAAUUGGUUCAUUUUUACAUGCAUAUUCACCCUUUGGCAGUUCUCCCUUAUUAAGACUUUCAAUGAGCUCCUGACAGAUGAAAUGGUAGCUAUGAUUUACAUUUGAUCAUAUGCAAUAGUAAAACUAGUCAUGUCAUAAGUAAACAACAAUAUUUCUUACGCAAUUUCCUUACCGUGUUUAAAUCAGAUUUUUCUCAUUCAGUUCCACAACAACAAAACUUUUCUCAUUAGGUAUGGUUCAUAGAUGGCUUUUCAUAUGUUUACGUCCACUUGUCCCAAUUCAAUCUAAUAUACUUUGACAUAUAGAGAGGAAAAAUUUAUUGGAAGGCAAGUGUGAAACUCUGAACAAAUCAACUAUUGACAUUUUGUGAUAAAUAUAGUGGAAAAACUAUUUAAUUUUAUAGAUAAUUUGAUGCGAAAUAAAGCAUUCAGACAGGGGCAUGAAAUAGAACAUUUUGCAAUACAAUACCACCCUCAACUUGAAAUAUCUAAUAUCCUUAAUGAAAAGGAAUCCAUAAAUCAUAUAUUUUUAUUGUUGUUUCUUAAGUAUAUAGAUCCUCACUUGACAUAUUUGUUUAUUUAUUUUACUUCUAUCAGCACGAAAUGAAUAUAUAUGUUUACCUUCUGGUUACUGAACUUCAGUGAGAAAGCACCAGCAGCAGAUGCCUUCUUUGUUGAUGAUCCCGCCAGCAGUUGCAUAUUACUGAUAACUUUCAUGUCAUCGGGUGAUAGUUUUGCCAACUAGUUAGAUAAACAAAACCAUCAAUAACAUUUGCUUACUACAGUUUUUUUUCUUUGAGUUAUAGUAUUGCAUUCAUUCAUAGAUGCUGACUGCCUAAAAAAAAUCAGACUGGACCUUAGAAAUCAAACAUAUCAAGCAAUGUAACAGGCAACCUACUCAUUCAUAGAUGCUGACUGCCUAAAAAAAAUCAGACUGGACCUUAGAAAUCAAACAUAUCAAGCAAUGUAACAGGCAACCUACUUUUUCCUGAGUCGUAGACGCCUCAUCCAAAUUUAUUUAUGAUGUAGCUAUAAACAAAGAGAUCCAUACCCAUAUACAGAGAUAGUUUUCAAAAUAAGACAUGAAUAUCUUGCAAUUCAGAGCUUAGCACAGUCGCAGAAGUUUAAUUCAGUCAAUUUUUGCUACCAAUCUUCUAAAGAACAUGAAUCUGAUCAGAAUUUGAACAUCUUUACUGGUUUUGUAGUCAGGAAAAGCAGGAAUAUCAAGCAUAUUUUAAAAUCAUAAACCUAGUAAAGAAACAUAAUUUGUAGAAUUCAUGAACCAUGUAGAAUUCAUAGGUGUUGGUAUCAACCUGCAUUAGCUUUAAACCUUUAUCACCCUCAAACUUUUCAGGGUAGACAGAUGCAUAGAUCAUCAACAACCGCAACUUAUAUUCAGGAGUUGUAUUCUGCACGCCGAAAAUUCUUUUAUAAGGAAAUUGUACAUAAUGUGUUAAGAUGCAUAUUAUAUUGCCUAAUCGGAGAUAUGGAUUCAGUACAAGACCUGCUUUGUUCUUAAAAAGUUAAUAACGUCCUUGGCUGCAGCAUCCCCAAAAACAAGAUCUUGCUCCAACUGUCCAAGCUCUCGAAGUGCUGCGUCUCUGAUGAUUGUGUUGAUCUUUCCAGCUAUCUACUUUGAAUUAAUAAAAAGCAGAGUGGUCAGAAUAGAUUACACAAAGAAAACAAAACAACGCUCGGUAUAGUUGAAUUUUCUCAAUUAUGUUACAGCUGUUUGUGUGUCUUGGCGGGCACAGCAUAUCGAAAAUUAUGCAAUUUCAGUCCUCUUACAUUCCAUUGCCAUUAUUCUUAUUUCUUAAGUUGCAAUCAAAUACUCCUCCUCGAUAACUAAGAUUUUUUUAAAAAAAAAAGUAAGUAAGAUGGAAAAACUCAAUCACCUCUACAUGGAGUGAAAUCUUUUCUACUUGCUCAGUGUAUUGGGGCAAAGCUUGAACCAUUUUUUGCAAAUCCCGCGUAGAUAUUUCACCACCAUCUCUGCAAAAUAUCAAAGCUAUAAGUCAAAAGUCAAAAGUGCUUAUCCCACUAUAGACAAGCGCAAUGAUGCCAUUGGUGUUGAGAAGCAUUUUAACAAGCCAUUAACCUGAGAGACUAUAAAUCUUUCCUUCUGUAUGUAAUUAAUGUAUCUUAGUUUUAGUUUUCAAUUUCAUUAUACAAACUAUAAGCUAGGUUUGGGUUCAGUGUAUUUACAUUAAUAAGAGAAGUUCAGAUGUGAUUACUCUUAUUAGAGCAAUAUAUGUUCUGUUGUUUGUAACGUGCAAUUACUGGUGAUAGAGUACCUAUAAAUGUACCAUUUCUGCAUUUGAGCAAAAAAUCUAUAUUUUGAUCCAGUUACUCAACAUAGUACAAAAUUUGAUAUCCAGACCCGUUUUUAACUCAGCAUGUUAACUGGUGGUUAGUUAAAUGAAAUUGAAAUAAUUUUUUUCCUACACUGUAUUAGUUUUGGAAAAUAAUAAAUUGAAAAUAUUAGCUAAAUACUUAAAUUAGCUAUAGAAAUUUGCAAUAUUGCAUGAGAUACAAAAUACAUUCAUUCUAAAAUAAGAGAGACAAAAUACUUUGUAAUUCAUGCAAUAUUAAAUCCAAUGCAAUAUACUAGUAUAGAAUAAGAGGUUAUUCCCAAGAUAGAGUGAUAGGACCCUGAGUCCGAACCUUAGUCUAGUAAGAGUUAGUUAGGAUAUAUCCUUUAUUUUAGGGAUAUUCUGUUAUAAAAGAGAGGGGAAGGGAUUAGGGAAUUCAUUCAGAAAUAUUGUUAGAAAGUUGUUAGGAGAGUUACUCUCUGGUCCAGGAGCAAUUCUGCUCUGGUUUAUCAUUUCUUGUUUCAUUUUCACCAUUGUAAGAGCUCAUCUUUGACAUUCAAUAGAAUACAAUUUGGUUAUCUUGAUUUUAUGGUUCUAUCAUAAAGUUUUGCUCAAACAAGCUAUAUAUAUAAAAGAAAUAAUGACAAUACAUUGACAGCUAGGACCUGAAUUUAGACUGGCAUUUAACAAAACAGAUGCUAUUUUUCAUGAAACAAGGAUUAAGGUGCCAGUGAGAACCUUCCACUUUGUUGCAUUUGUGCUGCUUUGUUCUUUGAUACAAAGGUGGUAAACUUUUCAUGCAAUCUUUCACUAGCCUGGAAUUUCAGAUGAUAAAAGAGCAUUGAGAUUUGAUUUCAGACAAAUUAAAUGCGUGUAGAUAAAGAGCGAACAAGAUGUACAUCUGCUAUAUGUGAAUGGCGAAGUUCGAGCCAGACUGAGUCGUGUUCUUCUAGAACGAC
Molecule: long non-coding RNA, 54771 nt
Filed under: Lathyrus oleraceus (garden pea)
Lineage: Eukaryota; Viridiplantae; Streptophyta; Magnoliopsida; Fabales; Fabaceae
Description: Pisum sativum (pea) long non-coding RNA (PSAT_LNC032140)
Rfam family: tRNA (bases 29035-29107)
Source: RNAcentral